This 78392-nucleotide long non-coding RNA is filed under the name Prunus persica (peach). RNAcentral's name for it is "long non-coding RNA (PPER_LNC001442)". The record is from RNAcentral. Lineage: Eukaryota; Viridiplantae; Streptophyta; Magnoliopsida; Rosales; Rosaceae.
UUUUUUUUUUUUUGGGGGUUUGAGAAUGGCUGGCUUUAAUUUUAAGAGUAGCAUUGUGCAACCCAUAAAAAAGAAAGUCAAAGAAACAUAGCACAGGAAGAGGAGCCACAGCAAAUAAAAGGAUUGUGAUGUGACAACAAUUCAAGUAAUUUCCUUGGUGUUUAUAUUAUCGAUAUACAAAGAGUGUUCCAUUCUUAAGAAGCACAGCAGGUCAUAGUUAGCAUAACUUGUUCAUUUCAGCCUUUGAACUGCUAGCAUGGCUUGAGUUUCCUCAUUCCACAUGUGAAAAACCCCCACCUUCAGCCUUUGUCCUGCAAACAAGCACACAAUUGACAAACAACAAAACCACAUACAUCAGUUCUUUUCUCCACUGGUAAAUAGUCUCAAAUUCUUUCGACAAGACAUGAAACUCUACAUUUUUUUUACUGAUAAACCCACAAAAAGUAACCCACAUUUCUUUGAAAAAGACCAAAUUUUCCGUUCCUCAAGGAUAACGAAAGCUUACUUGUGAUCGGAAGGAUUUGGCCUGAGUUCAUAAACAAUUGUUGCAACAACAUCCCUCUUCAACUGUUCAUCAAAGAAAAGAAAAUGAUGUAUUAGUUAUUUGCACAAUUAACGCAACAGAAUAUGCUCAUAUGGAAUGAAAUUACCUGAGUAGCCUCGCCUUUAAAGCCAAUGUACUCUAUCUUAGUUGUAUCACCACCAAAACUAUCAGGAAAAUGCAAUGUGAUGCUGGCCACGUUUUGAAACUUGGAAUACCUAAUUAUACGGAGAAAUGUUACAUUAGAGGGAUAACAGAUGGUAAAAUAAAAAUCAAACAAAACAAAAAACAACAAAAGAACUCAUUUCAGUGGCAAUUCAAAGUAAUUUACCGUCACUGUUCAAUUUGAAAAAGAAUAAGGUUUCUUUCAUUGUGCUCAAGUUUUAUAGUUUUCAUGUUCUAGAAAAUUAAACAACAUGGUUUUUGAAGUAGUAGUACUCCAAAAGGCAGUGAAUAAAUACCUUGUCUGGUACUCCAACACUCCUUGAAAAUUUUCGACCAAAUCCCACUCCUUAAAACAAUAAGAACACAUGUUUCAAGGCUGAAACGUUGAAUUUUUUCAAUUAACUCUUGAACAAGCUAAUAUGAAAGCAAUACCUGAAUGGCUUGCAUUCCUUGAACAUCUGAAAAGUCAAUGCCAUCUCGGUUGAUGAACCUAAUUAAGCAAUGCAGUCAUGUUUUUAGUUUUUUCAAAUAUAAAAAAUGUGAUCGAUAUUGAACAUCUGUCAAAGACUGAUUUGAUAUUUAUUUUGUCAGAAUCAUAUAGAACAAGACUCGUGAUCAGUACUAUUAAAGUUUGAACUUACACCCUCAUCUUGCUAGGACUUGUUCCGUCAGCACCGCCAAUAAUUGAUAUGCUCUUGAUCUUGACAUCUGAUGUAAAUCUAUCACAAAUAAAUGAAAAAAAUAUAGCUCAAUCAGAAUGUAAAGAAACAACAUCAAAGAUGACUUCAUCUAAUAAGUUGGUGUCAGAAUGGUAUGCUUUAAGAAAACUUAUCAAGAUGCCGACCAAAUGUUUGAACAAUAAAUACAACUAUAUUAAGCAUCAGAUAUAGGAGAUGAGCACAAGACAAAAGGAUAAUUAUAAAUGACACACAAAUUAACAGUUGUGUUUUGCUUUAGGUGUACCUGGAGAUGCUACUAAGGUUGAAUCCCUUACUCAAAACUCAUACAAACCCAACUAUGGAGAUCUAACAAAAUCAGACACAUAUUAUCAUUGUAAUUGAAUGAAAAGAUGGAAAAAUGUGUAAAAGUACUCAACCAAUGGAUCUACCUGAUCCCAUGCAUUUCGUAAUUAUGCAGUCUAUAACUCAUUUCAUGAAGAUAUCACAUAAAACAACAAGACGGGACACUCACGGAAUGUAAACAAGUAACUCGGGAUCACCCUCAUUGCUCUCCAAGUGUUCCUGUUGCAGAAAGUAGAAUCAAAAUGAGGCUUCAUAUGCCUAGUAAUUGAACAUAAAUUACAACCAAAAUAUAAGGUAAACCUGAACUAAAUCUCAAUCAAUGAUUCCUACAAAUUUUCGUAAAUGUCAUUCUGAGCUUUCAAGUAGAUUAACUUAUGAAGUUUGGAUCAUUACUUUUAACAAGGACGUAUAGAGAAGUAAAUAGAUAGCUCAUUACCCCAGUAGAAUUCAGCCGUUGCUCCCAAGCUUUAAAAACCGACUUGACACUUCCUGGAACCGCCUCAUUCAAAGCCGAAACCUAAAAACAGAAUAAGACAUUCUCUCAAGGAGAACACGUCAUCAUGUCAAUCAGCAAGAGGAAGCUCCAACGAAAUAUUAAUUUACAAAAUAACAAAGUGUGAAAAUAUUGCAAAGUAUAAAUCACCCCACAUCAACAAUCAUCAAUUACCAGUCAUAUAGCCACCCACAACCAAACUGCCCAAACCACAACACACAAGCACCCGUCUCCCAAAAAAAAAAAAAAAAAAGUUUCUAAACAUUUCUGGAAACUAGCAAUAACAGCAUCUGCAUGGAGUAUCAUUAACAAAGCUUCAUAUCCAACUAUUUUCAUUUACAACCAAGAAGCCUACACAUAAGAACCAUUAUGCUUACGGAUAAAUGCUUAUGAGAUUCAGCAUUUGAGCUUGAGGGUUUAUGUUGAUCACUGUUCUUUCAACUAAUUUUCAUUUGGGCACUUCCAGAUAAAACCAAAACAAUCACAAAAUGGGAGCAGACUGAAACGUACCAGUAUACGCAGAGCAGCAGUGUGAUAGCUAACAACGAAAACAUAGGAAUAGAAAAAUUAAGACUGAGCAAAGAAAAAGGCAGAGAAAUAGGACCUUGGGGAGGUCUAUAUGCUUGUAGAGAGACCAAUCAGAAGAACAAUCAUGCUCUUCGCAGCUGUGGUCAUGUAAGCAAGCCAUCUCUCUCUUUCCCUGGAUCACCAAAUUUCUAAGAAGCAGCACAAAAAGGCGAAGAAGAAAUAGAAGCAACCAGAAAUAGGGAGCGAACCGUGGCUUUUUCUGUGCAUAGUGCCGAAAAGGCCCUUGUAUCGGUACAAUAAAACGCACCGUUUACCUGUACAUAUAUGUCCUUUUAGGCUUUUACUGUGAAAUGCAAACGAGACUGUUUUCGCAAAACUUUCUUCUUUGCUUUCAUUUGGGAAGUUCAGCUCUGAGCUCUGUGAGAGAUGGAGGAAAUAGUAGAAGGGGACGGGUCGGGUGCGGGCAGAUACACGCUGAGACCAACGAGGCUAAGCAACGAGGACAUUCUGUUCUGUAUAGAUGUUGACCCAGAGUCUAUGGUGGAGAUGAAAGCCGCGAUGGGCCCAAAUGGGCGACCUUUAACCCGCUUGGACUCGAUCAAGCAAGCCAUACUUGUCUUCAUCAACGCCAAGCUCACCAUCAACCCAGAGCACCGAUUCGCCUUUGCCUGUCUCGGAAAGUCCGCGUCUUGGGUAGGUUCUCUCUGUUCAUCUCUCUCUUUAUUGCUUGGUUUCUGUUCGGUUUCCGAGAAAAUUUGCGAUCAAGGGCAGAGGAUUUUAUGGUUAUUAUGUGUUUUUUAGGAAUUGAACUCCUGGAAACCAUGAUUAUGGCUUUGGGUCAUAGUUUUGAGGUUUUUUGUGAUAUAUACGGUUAUGGGUAGAUUAAAAUUUUCAUUUGCAGGAAAUGUAAGCAAUUGCGUGCCAUGAAUUUGGUUUCUGGAUGAAUCAAUGAAGGAAAAUUAGUUUAAAUCACUAUUUUCAAGUAGCCCAUUGUACAGAGUCUCACCAAGUCAAAAACGUUUUGAUAGCAUGAAAGAGUUUAGACAGAAGUGUGAAACCCACGAUACAAUAUGGGGUUGCUGUGCAUGUAUAUUUAUAAGAAGUACUACGUCGGUAAACAAGAUUUGGAUAUGAACACUACUACUGAGGAGGCUUAUCAGAGAAUACUAAUGAUGAACCCUUGAAAUAAAAUACAUGAUAAAUAUAAACAGAUAAACACGUGAGGAAACUAAGCAGGUAGCACUUCUAUCAGUUUUCCUUUGAUUAAGCUUUGGUCACUUUUAUUGAAUGCGGGUGAGAAAUCAAUUCCUUUACUAUCUGUUAAGGAGAUUUCGGAUCUUGAUCAUAGUUUCAAAGUGUACUUUCCAAGAAUCAUCCGCAUACCUUGAUCAUUUUUGGUCCUAGACUUAUUUUAUGGGGUGCAGUACCAAGAAUCGUUCACAUACCUUGCUGUAGGGUUGAGUUUUGAUGCAUGAUAUGCAUAAUUAUCAUGCAAAUACCCCAUUAGUAGUAAAUAUUUAUGCAGUGUAAGCAAACCUUCUGCAGGUCUUUGUUCAAAACACUCAAUUUAUCCUUUGUGUCUGUUUGUUUGAUUUAUGUUUCUGUAAUUGAUUUGGAACCUUUUGUUUUUCGUUUUUAUGAAGCUUCGGAAAGAGUUUAGCAGUGAAGUCGAUUCUGCUAUUGCUGCAUUUCGAGUACUCUCAGCUACUUCAUCUUCUAGUAAUGCAGAUCUUACCAGUCUAUUUCGAGUAGCAGCUCAUGAAGCAAAGAAAUCUCGUGCUCAAAACAGACUUUUAAGGGUGGUAAGCAAUGGUUGGCUUAACUUUUCAUGCAAUUACAUUGGUUAAUUAUUACAUCCGUGCCAUUGUGAUAUUCCAUCUUAUCCCUUCCAUGAUGUUGAAAUUUUUGUGUGUUGAUUGCUAAAGGCUGACAUGCUUGCCCUUAGAUUCUUAUUUACUGUAGAUCAUCUGUAAGACCAAAUCAUCAAUGGCCUGUGAACCAGAAACUCUUCACUCUGGAUGUAGUUUACCUUCACGACAAGCCUGGACCUGAAAACUGCCCUCAAGAGGUCUAUGAUUCACUUGUGGAUGCCCUGGAACUUGUUAGCGAAUAUGAGGGCUACAUCUUGGAGAGCGGUCAGGGAUUAACUCGAGUUCUCUUCCGUUACAUGUGCAUGCUGCUAUCACACCCUCAGCAGCGUUGCCCACAAGACCAUCUGGACAUACCUAAGCCUCUUGCGAAAAAGUUGCCGGCAGCAGAUUCAACGACUACUGAUGAUAGUAUUAUAACUGUGUCCGGCAUAUCAGAAGUUCAGAACAUUAGAAAUUAAUUUUACUGAGGUCAUUUUGCUUCUAAAAGUCUCAUAUGUAUGUAGUUUGUCUGAUGUUGAUGUAAACCUCUUGUUGAGUGAGAAUGAGUAGCCGAUUUGAUCUUGGUCCUAUCUGUCUGUACAAAUUGUGAAUGUUAUGAAUCCCAAUGUUUAUUUUAACCUAUCUGUCGAAGAAUUUUUUAUGACAUUCAAGAUCACGUAAAAUAUAGCAAAAGCAAGAAGUUCUUAGUACUAGUUUGUAUGUGUAUCCCCAUUAAUAUGAAGAGGGAGGUGGGAGCUGGCUUGCUACGCCGCGUCACACGGCACGCGGCAGCUAGGCAUAUUAGACGUCGAAGGAUUCUGGCAUUAAAUGUUAAGCAUUUAUAAACUUUGCCAAGGCUCAAAUUCUCCCAUAAGCAGCCUAAAAUGAGGAUGUUGUAAGUUGAAUUUUGCUACAUAGAACUACAUUCUCGGAAAACAGCUUAGUUGCCACUUUGCCAGUCACAUCACGAGACAUGUGUCGAAAUCUCCCCCGCUCGAAAAAAUAAAAAAUAAAUAAAACAAAAAAAAAAGGUAAGCCUUCCUCAAAGUCUAACGCUACUAGAUUGAAAGGUGAAAAAACUUGAUUGCAUAAGUAUACUACCCAUUGGUAUUGAUGAAAGACUUAUGAGGUUUGAAAUUAAAUCUUUCAAGUUCCCCGCAGAACCCUGCCUUGCCCUUUGGAGUGAGGCUAAGGUUUUCUUCUCUUAUUAAAAAAACCAAUCGACUAUUAUUUGCAUUCCCACAAAACCGUAUGACUCAUUGCUUCCAAUGGUGAGGUCAACAUAUUGGUAAUCAGAAAGAAAAAAAAAAUGCAGAGCUCGAAAAGUUGAAAUGAUAACCAAAAUCCCUCAUCCAUAUAAUUUUUUUUAAGUAGAAGUCAACUUGGAGGGAUGAUCUUAAUCACACAAAUUGUCUGUGACAUCUCUAGAAUUAGUUUUAGUAAUGAAAUAAAUCGUUUAACUCUUUCGCUCAAGAAAUCUGCCGGCAUGACGUGUCGCUUGUGCGUUCCUUGUCCACUUGUGCAUGCUUAUAUAUUGCUUGCACGAGUACAAAGAAAAACUCCAGUUUGAAAAACUUUUUAUACUAAAAAUAAACCCUAAGCAUUAUUAAAUUUGUAUUGUUUUUAAAGUUUGACCAACUGUUUUGAUCUUUUUUUCAUGAACUUGUCCAAGCCGUUCUGGCGCUCUUUAACUAUUAUUAGUCUUAAUAAUCUAUUUCUAAUUGUCAUGAGUCAUGACCAAUCUCCCUUCUCUGUAAAGUGCAUCAAGUUGGUCAUGUCAACUCAUUCUUUUCUUUUUACAAGUGAUGGUGGGGAUAACUAGGUUAACACUUAAAAUUGCUUCCAUCUUCACCUACUUGAAUGACAGAAGAACAUGGGCUCGUGCCUUGUGGGUCACUUAUCUUAUCUUAUUUAACUUUUUUUUAUUGCUUUUAGGUGAAUCGACUGCACAAUCUUAAAUGCAUGAAUGAAUGCUUUAAACUAUUUAAAUUACGAGCUCUUUAUUGUGUUCCUUAGACAGAAGUUAAAACCAUCAUGAUUUGCUGGUUUUGAGUUGGUUAAUUAGUGUUUACAUGGUGUGAAUGUAAAAGUAAAUGGUAAAUGGCUUACAUAGCAAGUUAGUUAUAUAUAAGUUAAAGAAGACACCUCUCAAGUGGUAUGCGAAUCUUGGGGUGGCAUAAAAUAAUUGAGAAUUUAUUUAAAUAUAGUCAAAUUAUUGAAGCUCCUUCAGCUCUCUGUGGAGCCACUUUAAUUUGCUCCAAUAGAUGAUCAUUUUGCUAACAUGUGCCCUUUAUAUUCAUGAUUAAAGAGAAGAGGACUUCAAAUGAACUUUGGACUAUAGGAGAUAGAUAGGAGGAGGAGGAGGAGGAGGAGAUAAAGGAAAAAUCCAUUUCCAGUUUUAAUGGGACUCUGCAUAUCUUCUUCAGCUCACAAAAUUCAGGAUGGCCAUGAAGCUCCAAUGUCCUUUGAAAGGACUGACGAUUCUAAUGGAAUUCAGAUGCACGGUUCCCUUUAUUCUUUGGAAGGAAGCAAAGGAGUAAACCAAGAUAGUGCCAUUCUUUACCAGGUUUGUGAAUAUUUCUUUCCCCUUUAUUAUAUGGAAGGAAGCAAAGGAAUUGUUCUGUGUGUUUCUCUAGCUGCUCAUUUCAAAACCAUAUUGUUUGUUUUUCGCUUUGUCUAUACAUAAAUAUAUAGAAUGGCAAGGCUUGUUUUCUUAGAAAAUCAUCAGCAAUUUCGUUUCAAAAGCAUUCAUGCAAAGCAUGUUGCAUAAUCGGGUUUCAUAUUAUUUUACUAGGCUUCUGAAAGUCUGUUGAUUAUAGCUUUAACCUCUUCUUAUUUUUCUUGUCUUUUCAAUAGGGCUAUGGAUUGGAAGCUGAAGCUUUCUGUGGAGUUUUCGAUGGACAUGGAAGAUUCGGGCACCGAGUGAGUCAGCUGGUGAGAAGCAACCUGCCAUCACUCUUACAAGGCCAGAUGAAAGCUCUUGAUCAACAAGCCAUUGCAGUAGCAGAGGAUGAUGAUUCGAAAAAUCACAUUGACAGAAUAGAAACCGAGUCAGAAGAUUCAGAACCAAGCAAGAAAUUUCACAAAUGGAAAGAAGCCUUUGUUAGCUCCUUCAAAGUCAUGGACAAGGAGAUUAAGCUUCAAGAAAAUCUGGACAGCUCUUGUAGUGGAACCACUGCUGUUGUUGUCAUAAAACAGGUGAGAAAAACUACACAUGAUCAUUGAACAAAUUAUUUAUCUUUCUUUAUUUCUUUGUGUUCGGCUUUAAUUCAAGAAUCAAACAGGGUGAGGAUCUUUUUAUAGCUAAUCUGGGUGACUCAAGGGCAGUCCUAGGAACCACUAGAGAGAAUGGAAUUGAGGCCAUUCAAUUGACCACUGAUCUAAAGCCUGCUUUACCUAGUAAGAAGUUCAUCAUUUUUUUCCAUUUUUUUCCUCUUGUUUAAUUUGAAGUGAUUAUCUGACAGGUGAUCGUUUUUAAUGCAGGUGAAGCAGAACGAAUAAGGGCGUGUGAUGGUCGAGUGGUUGCACUAAAGCAAGAACCUAACAUCCAAAGAGUGUGGUUGCCUCAUAUUGACCUCCCAGGCCUAGCCAUGUCCUGAGCUUUCGGAGACUUCAUACUCAAGGACCAUGGCAUCAUUGCCACCCCUGACGUCUCCUAUCGCCGCCUGACUUCCAAAGAUCGAUUUGUCGUUCUUGCAACGGAUGGGGUAAGCCCUAUUGGAAAUGAAAUGUGUACUUGUUAAGAGUUUUAGCGUUGCCAAAGAAAAAAGGGCACAGUUGCUUUCCUAUGAAUGGCAUUUUAACCACAAUGAUGCGUUUUGUUCUUGGGCUUGGUAUUUAGGUUUGGGAUGUGCUCAGCAACCUUGAAGUUGCAUCCAUUGUGUGGGAAGCUGAUAGUGCACAAGCAGCGGCAAAGGCGGUGACGGAGACUGCGGUGGCCACAUGGAGAAGGAAGUUCCCUUCUGCUAAGAUAGAUGACUGCACUGUGGUUUGCUUGUUUUUGCAAGACAAACUACAUGAUCAUGUUGUGCCUGUAAAGAUAUGAGCUUUUGAGCAAUGCUUGUUGCUUUGUGAUCUUUUUUUAUCUUCAUACAUUUUAACACGACACUAUACUUUUUCAAUUUCUGAUAAGCUAUACUUUUUCAAUUUCUGAUAAGCUACCCGUCCAAUUAUGUACAUAAGCCCACAGGUUCCAUUUUUGGUUAAGACAACAGUUGCUUUCAAGAAUAAAUUUUUGGUCAAAUCAUCCGCCAGUAAAUGAAAUCUUUCAAAACCAAACAGAACCAUUGGCAACCUUCAAAAUGCUCAGUAAAUUUUCAAAAUGUCCACGAAUAAACAAUGAUGUUUUGAUUUGUUUUCUCCAGGCAAUUCUAGAAAGACAUCACAGGGCUAGAAAUUCAUGAACAUAAAUAUAAUAAGACUUGACAUAGUGGCAAAAGGCAUUCUUGAAAUUUCAUUGAAAUGCUUUUAAUCACAAUAGGAUAAGGCCGAUAAACUUCAGUUAAACUCUUUAAUAGGGGAAAAGAAUUAUGUUGCCUCCAGGCAAACGAAACAAAAGAGAACUUUCUGCAUAUAAAAACCCCAUUUGUGAGUAAACUCAAUGCCUACCAUCUGGAUGAAAAAAUAGAAACAGAAGAUCCCGGGCGAAUAUAAAUCCAUUUCCUCUAAUAUUCAAGUGCAUCAUCUUUGGGCGCCUCUCCAAGCAGGUCAUCAUCAUAUGAAACAGGUACCCUUAACCUAUCAUGAACAGAAAGUUGUUUCCCUUCAGUAUUUGACUGAAUGCCUUGAGUUUGCAUUUGACAAAUAACCGGUACGGCAUCUGAAAUAUUAGCUGGAGUAUCAUCCUUGAAUGAAUUCACAAUUGCUUUAGAUGAACCUUCUUUCCCUUGCUGUAUUGGUUGUCUAUUAUUUGUUGACCUGAAUUGCUUCUGCAUGGAGAUAGAAAACAUAAAAAGUAAUCAACGAUGCUGUAGUUUUACACUUUUUCUAAUAAAAGUGAUAUUUAAUUGACGUUUGGGAAAUAACAUCAGAAACAACACUAUGAAUCUAUGAUCCACUACUGCGCACCUCAAAUUCCCUUCCUUUUUUCAUUAUCUCUUUGUAGGCCUUUGGUUCUCGUGCUUUGAUGAUACUCCAUAGUACUCCACCACCAAAUCGGAAACGUUUGCCAUCAUGAGUCAUCUGACCUCCACAAGCCUGGAUCGCAUCCACCUGAAAUUUUUCAUCAUUUCACAAAUGAUAUCCUAGAUACACCAUGGUUUCUAGCAGGGAAAAAGUAUCCAUUCUCCUGAUACUGGAUUCCAUCCGGACUACAAAUAACUAAUAUACGAGAAACAUAGAAACACUUGUAACAACCACAUUUAAUAAAAUUCAGAAAUUACUUAACUAAGGAUAUCGUUCCCUACAAUCAAAGUAAGCUCAAAGAUGUUCAUAAUCACAAAAGUUUCUGUAAACCAUCUCCGGAUAGAGCUUAUGGUUCCUGGGGGAGGAGCAAACAUGAAUGAUGAGCUUUUUGGAGCAAAAAUAGAUGUGUAUUGCUUUGUUACGCGUAUCUAUUAGAGUACUCUUACAUGUGUUUUGCAUGCAUAUUGGCUAAUGCAACUCCAAGAAAAAAUGAUAUCAACCUACACAAAUAGCAUAUGAUGAAGUGGUUCAUCCAGGGGACAUCACAGCUCAGAGCACAAGAUUGAAAGGAGUAAAAUGGCUUCUGCAAGAGAAAUCUGCAAGGGUAGGGAAACAAUAUUGAGGAUCAGAAAUUAUGCAAGGCUGCGUGGCCAAAUAGUGUGCAUAAGCAUCGGCAGCUCUAAGCUGGUCCAAAAUUAAGCAACCCAGAAUCUCACCUUCCCUUGCAAAAGGCCAGUCGAAUCAUUCAAGUCCACUCUCAACAAAGGAUACCCUGCCUUCCCCUUGAAGCUAUAAUGUGAAGGGAACUUAAAAAGGGACAGAUGGCUCAGAAGGUAAAGACAACCUUAAAAGUACCCCAUAAAGCAUAACCAUCCUCCCAAUAACAGGACCCCCAAUUAGCAAAAAAACCAGCGUGUUCAAGAAUCUAUAGAACAGAAUUGGCACAGACAAUAUGAUAGGUGAUUUUUAAUUGACAUCACUGAAACCCAGCUCUGAGUGCAAAUCCCAUGUUCUGAACAUGAGCAGCAAGGUCGGAUCAUCUUAAAGCUAGAUGUGAAGCGGAGUCAAGGCAACCUUAAGAAGUACCCAUAAAGCACGCCCAGACACAACCCAUUCACCCAAUAACAGGAUUACCAUUAGCAGAAAGACCAAGAGUGCUCAAGCAGGUACAUAAUAGAAUUACUUUGAACAAUAUAAUAGAUGAUUUCAAUUGAGAAUAUCACUGAAAACUCCACUGAAAGGUAUUGGGCACAAAGCACAUGUUCUUAAACUGACAGCAAGGUCGGAUCAUCUAAAAAUGCACAUUAAUGCAGAUAAACAUGUACCAAAUUUACAACCAGUUGCUAAUGGCGUCUGUCAAGGAGAUUUUCAGAAGACAAUUACAAAACAUAAUGCAAUGCACACGUAGUUGCGUAUAAAAGAUAAAGAAAACAAUCCCCAAGUUAUAUAAUUUGCUUUGUCACAGCAUUUCCACAAAAGCACACAACGAAGGGCAGCAUACCUCUUUGACGAGAUCAUUCAAUGCAAGAACACCCAGACAACCAACAGCAGUAUAUACCAGAUAUGAUUUCUUCUCUUUCAGUCGCCUACAUGUAUCCAUCACAAACCUGAAAAAGACAUAACAUUAAAAGAAUGUAAAAACCCACAAGAGAGCUCCAAAUUCCUUUUGAAUAUAUGUAAUUUCUUUCGUUCUUAAUCGGGCAGGGCAUAACCUGUCUAUGUCAGUGACAUUAAUUCCAGGGCCACUGUUCCUUCUCCUAUUCCUCUUCUUCUUACCCCUGCGCUUCUGAUUCUUGCCCUGACGUUCUUGGUUUGCUACACUGACAUUGCCACCACUGAUCUGUCCCGAACCAUUUUGUGAGUUAAAAUCCACAAGCUCCCCUUCUUCCACAAGCUCUCCUUCUUCCACAUCAAGCAUCUCAACAUCUUCGCCAUCUUCAAAGUUAUCGUCUUCAAAUACUGCGUCUAGUAUGUUGUGUUCUCCUUCCAUAUAAGGUUUUCUUCAAUGGGGGGAAAAAACGCACCACAAAAUUUAUAAGCACCUACAGAGCAGAAAGCAGGAAGAAAACACGCAGAUUUCCACAGACGAGACAAAAACUGCAAACUCGUGCAAAUUUUCUCUAUGGCAAAUCACCAAACAGAUUAUGCGAGCCCUAACCAGAAAAAAUCACAAGUACAACGAAAACAAAAAAAAAAACGUAAAUAAAUAUUUUUUUUAAAAACCGAUGUACGAACCCUAACAAUGCAAAAACAAACACAGCAAUUCAAAGCUUAUGGAAUUUUCCAAUUAGAGUGCUCUGCUUAAGGACGAUGAAGCAUAACCGCGGCUUUUGGCGUUUGGUUGAUCAGAGGACUGCGUUUCGCUGGUAUGGUCUUUAUAGUGAAGCCUAGAUGAGCGCUGGCGGUAAUCAGUAAUGGCUUGUUUGGCUGCGUGGCAAACGAUGAUAUUAAUCCGGAUUGGGUUAUAGGUGGAAAGGCCCAACCCAAGGACGCUUUGCUUAUCUGUACUGAGCGAGCCCAAAAUGGCUGAAACUUAGUCCAUCCCCAAUCUAUUAGUGAUAUUUUAUGAUUUGUUUUUGUUGAAUACGUAAUUGUUAGUAGGUUAUCUGUCGACGUUUGAUUUCUUUUCAAUAGUGGGCCAUACGUCAUUGGCCAAUCCGUACGAGUCCACAACAAAACUGAGUUGAUGUGGAUUGUUGAGUGUGAAAUUUUGAGGAGUAAGUUUUGGGUGAAAAGCUCGGACCACGUAAUCUAUCUGUCCAACUGUUUUCAUAAGAGGGUAUAAAUUUUAUUGAGCGCCUGUCGGACGGAUGACAUGGUUUUAGAGCAAAGCCAAGCCCAACCUCAUAUUCAGACACCAUUGAUUGGAACGGGUAUGAAGUGGAAAUACAGGCCUUCCUUUAUCUUGUUCAGCAAGCAAUGGUGCAUUUUUGUCCUGUAAUUCAUAAAUCUAAUAGAUGCCCUUUGUCUGCAUCAUCACUUUUGUUGUAUUCUUUAAAUUAUACCUACCUUGUUUUCUACCUAUUCAAACGAGGGGAAGGUGGGCAUGAUUGGUACCAAAGUUUCAACCUAACGUUCUUCAACAUCUAGUAGCUUUUAUAUUAUAAAGUUAAAAGAAGAAAAAUACAAAAAGAAAACUCAUUAGAGCUUCCAGCUCUUGUUUUGAAUGAUGAUAGAUUAAGUCUGAUGUUGGGUUGAAAUAUUCUUUAUUAUGGCUAACUUAGCAUUGAUGUGCUAUGAAAAUAUACGCUGUUAGAUUUAUUGUGAGAAAAAUCAACAGUGAGAUAAAACAAUUUGGUGUUUGAUAAAAAAACAAAAGGGUCCCCACUUGCUCUAACAACAAAAAAACUAAAAAUCUUGCAAGUUAACUAAAGAAACUGUAUUCUUUAAUAAAUGAAAUUUCCCGUUAUUAUCUAUAUAUAUAAAGCAAAAGGCAGAGAAUGGUGAAACAUUCAAAAUACCAGAAAAUACCCUUGGUUAAUGCAAAUAUUAAGAAUUGAAAUUAUUAAUUAAAUGAGGAUAAUAUGGUAAAUUCACAAUUUUUCGUAUUAAAAAAAUUAAAAUUAAAAGAAAAUUCAGAUAAUGGAUCCUAUUUUUAUGGAACACAAAUAUCCAUUAUCUUUUUUAAUUCUAAAAUAAAUUUAAAUUUUUUUAAAAAAAAACCUCUCGCAUGCGCAGAAGCGCGUGCAGAGAGGCUAGUAUAUAUAAAGCAAAAGGCAGAGAAUGGUGAAACAUUUAAAAUACCAGAAAAUGCCAUUGGUUAAUGCAAACAUUAAGAAUUGAAAUUAUUAAUUAAAUGAGGAUAAUAUGGUAAAUUCAUAAUUUUUCGUAUUAAAAAAAUUAAAAUUAAAAGAAAAUUCAGAUAAUGGAUCCUAUUUUUAUGGAACACAAAUAUCCAUUAUCUUUUUUAAUUCUAAAAUAAAUUUAAAUUUUUUAUAAAAAAAACCUCUCGCAUGCGCGGAAGCGCGUGCAGAGAGGCUAGUACGAAUUACGGGUGAAAAAACCAGUGGAAUUAUACGGCGCCAACACUGUAAUUCCCGCAAUAAUACGGUGCCGACGUGUACGCUCCAGAUUGCACCCCUUUCCAAUUAAAGAGUGAGCUCACUGGGGCCCGCAAUCAAUCAUCCAAGUCGCAUUGAAAAAGAGAACCCACGUGGUCACCAAUAAAUAUCAACUCCUCCUCCGACCUUCGAUCUUUGUGUUAUAUGUCAGCUCCACCAAUCAGAUAUCCUCAUACCAAUUUGACCGGAAACCGCCAUGACUCGGUUGGCUAGCGCCGUCGUCCUGUUGUUCCUUGUCUCCCUCUCCAGUUUCGCUGCCGGUAGCCGGGACCUGAUCGGAGACGUUUUACGGUUACCUUCUGAAGCUUCUAGAUUCUUCGGCAGAGGCGAUGACGGCCCUGAUGAGCAAGACGACGGCACCGUGGGGACCAGAUGGGCUGUUUUGAUCGCUGGCUCAAAUGGAUACUGGAAUUACAGGCAUCAGGUCUUAAUUUUACACGAUAUCAUCUUUCUUAAUUCAGAAAUAUUCUUUUUUGUUAUCAAACUUCAGUUGUUAAUGGAAUUUGAGUUAUAAUUUUGGAUGUUAAUUUCAAUUUUUUUUCCCUUCAUGUUUUUUGAAUUGUUUGAUAUCUGAAUUUGGGUAACCUCAUAUUGGAAAGUUUAUGCUUGUAUAAUCUCGUUUAAAUUUGACUUUCAGCUUAUCCAAUUUCUGAUUCUUUUACCUUGUUGCUUUCGAAUUUGUCAAACUAAAUUUUGGAAGCUUAGAGUUUGUUUUGGAACUAAUAUGAAUUUAGCUCAAGCUUGUGUCUUUCUUAUCUUCCUUGAUCUCAUCUCAUUUUGACUAAGACAGAGUUUUAAAUUUACAUGUGGCUUGAGUUUGUUUUGGAACUCAUAUGCAUUUAGUUCAAGUUCGUUUUAUUAAUUAUUAUAUUCCUUGAUCUCAUCUCAGUUUGAAACUUUGACAUGGAGUACAUGAUCUCAACGUUAACCAUAUUUGUAUAGGAGCUGGAUUUCUGUGUCAGGGGUGAAAUUGAUACUUUUGUUGUGUCUAUAUCUUCAUAUGAAUGUCAAUAAAUAUCUUAUUGGUUUCACAUAUUUGAAAGCUAAGCCACCCUCAUUUCUUGAUUGAUGUUUAACACGGACCUUUUUAUCUUGUUUGUUUAGGCUGAUAUUUGCCAUGCUUAUCAACUACUGAAGAAAGGUGGGCUGAAAGAUGAAAACAUUGUUGUAUUCAUGUAUGAUGAUAUCGCUUAUAACGAAGAGAACCCUAGGCCCGGAGUCAUCAUUAACAGCCCACAUGGUGAUGACGUUUACAAAGGAGUCCCAAAGGUCUGUUAUCUUCCCCUCUAGGUGUUUACCUGCUUCUGAAUUGAUAGUUAUAAUUCCCCUCAUGCGGUCGAUUUUACGGUGGCAGGAUUACACCGGCGAUGAUGUUACUGUUAACAAUUUUUUUGCUGCUAUCCUUGGAAAUAAAACUGCUCUUACAGGGGGUACUGGGAAGGUUGUGGACAGCGGUCCAAACGAUCAUAUUUUCAUUUACUAUUCUGAUCAUGGUGGUCCUGGAGUUCUCGGUUAGUAUCAAUUCUGCACAUGACAAUACUGACAUUAUUUUGCCCACAUCCCCAUAUCUUAUCUACUUACUCUUUCCCUAGGGAUGCCUACCAGUCCAUAUAUUUAUGCUAACGAUCUAAUAGAAGUCCUGAAGAAGAAGCACGCAGCAGGAACCUAUAAAAGCUUGGUAAGUUUCUAGUUGAACUGUAAAUAGAUGCUGCAUAUACCAAUAGAGUUGGACUAAUUCGUAGAACUGCAGGUAUUUUAUCUUGAAGCUUGUGAAUCCGGAAGUAUCUUUGAGGGACUUCUUCCUGAAGGUUUGAAUAUCUUUGCAACUACGGCAUCAAAUGCAGAAGAGAGCAGUUGGGGGACUUACUGUCCAGGAGAGUAUCCUAGUCCUCCCCCGGAGUAUGAAACCUGCUUGGGUGACCUGUAUAGCGUUGCUUGGAUGGAAGACAGGUAUGCAGAAUUAUUUUAUUUUGUUAAAUUUUCAAUAAAGGGGUGGGAAGAAAAGCAGCUUAAUGUUAGCUUCAUUUUGCAUACCCUUGGUAAAUAAUAACAAUUUCAUCUUUCCCUAAAAGUGCAUUACUUCUUGAGUAUUGUCACUUUAAGAUUUGCCUCAAAAUAUGAAGAAUAUAUGAAUUAGGUAGAAGUUUGAAACUGUAUCAUUUCAUGCCAGUUGUUUUUUCUUCUUUAAUUCUUGCACUGGUGGUGUGGGUGUUUGGAUUGUCUUUGCAAGAGCAGUUUCUUUCUCAGGUUGGAGAAUGAAACUGUUCAAAUUAUAAUUUUCAUUUGAGAUUUAACAUUUUGACCUUGUGAACAGUGACAUACACAACUUGAGGUCGGAAACUUUGCACCAACAGUAUGAGCUGGUAAGAAUUCGUCUCUUAACACAUUGUUAUGGAACAGAUAGAGAUUUUUUUUUCUUCUUUUGUACAGGAAAGACCAGCUGUUUAUUAUUGUAUGUUUAAAUAAAAGAGAUUGUCUGUAUUUAGAGAAGUCUUGGGGGUCUAGCCAAGAAAUAUCUAGAUGUGAUCCUGCUAGUUGCUAAUGUCAGUUCUUUGAUUUCAUUAUGAUGGCCCAGGUUAAAACGAGGACAGCAAAUGACAAUUCUGGCUUUGGUUCUCAUGUCAUGCAAUAUGGCGAUGUAGGGCUCAGCAAGGAAAACCUCUUUGUGUAUAUGGGGACAAAUCCUGCAAAUGAUAACUACACUUUUCUGGGCGAGAACUCCUUGAGGCCAUCUACAAAAGCUGUCAACCAGCGGGAUGCUGAUCUUGUCCAUUUCUGGCAUAAGGUUAACUCUUACCUUUUUCAUCCGUGAAUAGUUAUUUUGCCUUUUCUUUUAAAUAUCUAGUCUUAAAAUUUAUGUACUAGUCAUCAUCGGUACUUAUAUUUGGAAGUAUUUCAUACUGUUAGAUAUUAUGAUUGAUUUGAUUAAAAGUCAGGAGAGAUCAGUAAUGAUGAUUGGGGAAUACUCCAUGUUUUCAUUGUUUAAACGGUAACAUAUCAUAAGUACCAUGGAGGUUUUGGAACCAUGCCAUUUGCCCUGCUCUCCUGUGAAGCUCCAAACAAAGCAGUAGAAUAUCUCUGCUUGGAACAAGAAUUUUGAAUACCAAAAAGGGAAUGAAACCAAGGUUUUGAUUAAAUAAAAGCCUUAAUUGUUAUGAAAAUCUAAGGUUCUACUUCUGAAUAUUCUGUGGUUUUGUAACUAUUUCUGUGUGUUAGCUGUCAGCCUGAAGAUCUAAGCCCCUUGUUUUCCCUUCUUUUCUUUUUCUGGAUGCAGUACCGCAAAGCUCCUGAAGGCUCACCAAGGAAAAUUCAAGCUCAAAAGGAUUUUGUUGAAGCAAUGUCUCAUAGAAUGCAUAUGGAUCAAACCAUGAAACUUAUCGGGAAACUCCUGUUUGGAAUCAAGAAAGGUCCAGAAGUGCUCAACACUGUUCGACCUGCUGGGCAGCCACUUGUUGAUGACUGGGACUGCCUUAAGACAAUGGUAGUACUUCUGCUGUUCAUUUUCUCCUUAAUGCUGUUAAAACUUUUCUGAUUCCAUCUUGUUCUGCAUAUAAAACAGAUUUUCACAAAUAAUAUAUGUGGCUGUGCCUGAUGGGUUUGUGUGUGCAGGUGAGGAGUUUUGAGACAUAUUGUGGAUCCCUAUCUCAAUACGGGAUGAAACACAUGCGGUCCCUGGCAAACAUCUGCAACGCCGGAAUGACAAAGGAGCAGAUGACCGAGGCUUCAGCACAAGCCUGCACGAGCGUUCCUUCUAGCCGUUGGAGCUCCCUGCACCGGGGGUUCAGCGCAUGAUUUCAAGAAGAAGAAAAAAUGUGGGAUUUGAAUAACCAAUCCGUGGUCAUCUCUAUAUGCAAAACAUAUCUUAGGAUGCAUUUCGAUUAUUGUUAAUGUUAUUCUGAUUGCUUCAGUGUAACCUUGUGUAAAUACAACUCAAGCCCCUGUACUGUAAUGCACGUACCUACUGAAUCUUGUAAGUAAAUAUUAGCAUGUUUGUUGCGUAUGAAUACGUACCUGUUUGCUGCAGCUGGUGUACGCAUCAGGCUCUGGUUAUAAAAAAGUUUGCAAUUACGAUAUGCCUUUGUUUUAUGUUCACUUUGGUUGCUUCAUUAAGGAAGUGAGUGGCUUGUCUCCAUCUCCUUCACCACCACCACUAACAGAACAUAAUUAUCGCGUAACACUUUCAACUUUAUGUCUAUUUGAGUUAUUAUUUACAAUUACAAUUUUUUUAUAUUAAAAUUUAUCAAAUAAUUUUGACAAUGCUUUUUGUACUAGCACUUCAAAAGAAUUAUUUAUUAAACAUGAAGUUGCUUUACUUUACAAUUAAUUAUUUUUAAAGCACAAUAAAAUUAAAUUUUUUAAAAAAGUCACAUCAAUCUCAAAUUCCCCUUCUUUCUUGUCCGUCUCCAAAUGGUAAACUGGUAAUCUAGCUUUUGACCCCCAAAAAAAUGGAAAUCUAGUGGGCCUUUCAUAAGAUAAUGUCAUUAUCAUUGUGUGAGUAUAUUCCGUGUAAUUGAGUAAUGAAAGAUAUCGAUCGCGUUGGGAAUUGGGGAAAGUUAGAAAUAUUUAAGAGACGGAUUUACUCCCUCAAUUAAUGUAAUUUAUGGGUUUUCAAGAAUUAAAUGACGGAUUUUAAUGUGGAACACACAUAAAUUUGUAUACCUGAUGUAAAUUUAAGAGUUGGAAUAAUUUUAAUAUCCAUUAUAGGCAAAUGAACAUGCCAUGCUAUAGGUGUGUGCCCAAUUUCAUUGUGGAGAACGUAGCCGUAGGAGAGCAUGCGUCCAACCCCAAAUUCCCUUUCUUCCUCACCUUGCUCCAACCUGUAGCUGCCAAAAUGUAGGUAAGCAACAGCCUACAUUACGGGUCCAAUAAUGUACAAUUUUGGCAAAGUCCAAUUACUUUAAUGAUGGAAUGAUUGUAUAGUUAAAUCUUACUUAAUAAGAUAAGAGUGAGAGUCAAAUUUAUACGGUGCAUAUUUAUUUCAUGUGUCAAUGCCAAUUAUAUUACAUAUUUUAAUUGAAUAAUACGGACCAUUUAACUUGACACAUGCAAAAUUAUAGAUGAGCUUGUAAUUGUAACAUUAAGAUUCACACAAAAAACGAAACUCACAAUAUUUAGCUGAAUGGAAAAUGUUUUCAAGAUGCAUCUAUCAUAAGUUCUAGCUGUGAACAUUAUUAUAUGGCAGUGUCCCAUCCCAUGGUCUCCCCAAGACUCACAACCCAACAUUUUCUUUUUCUUUUUCUUUUUCUUUUAUUUUUUUAUUUUUAUAAAACGCAACCCAACUUUAAAAAUAUGAUCCAUAAUUGCAUAUUGUCAAACCAACAGUGAAAAAAAAAAAAAAAAAAAGGGAAGCAGGAACCGACGCUCUAGAUUCAACAAUUUUAUUUGGUCAACACACAAAUAUUUAAGCUUGGCUUAUAUACGGUCUAUAAUCGGCCACAGGAACCGGACAUCAAGGACAAUUGUCUGAUAACGUGAAAUCCACGACUCUGGUUAAACUUACCAUGGUUAGUUCACUAUAACCAUACUACAACGAACCGGUUCACCAGAAAAAUAAAAUUAAAAAAUUAAAAAAUUAAAAAAAGGUAAAGGAUGAAUAAAAAAAUAAUUGGGUAAUGCAAAUUAUUGCCACUUAACGGAGUAGUAGAUUCUGUUAGAUUCAUUUGACGAGGCGAAGAGGGGGCGCAUAGUAAGAACGUUGUAACGAGGUUUAAAAGAGACGGAGCUGACGGUUUAAGAUAGGGAGACGCGGGAGCCGUUGGAUUGUUGAUCAAGGGCCGAUAAUGCAAGGCGUUGGACGGUUCAAGUGUGACGGAGAGUGGGAGGGGUCGUAUAAAGCCUGGGUUUUGAAAGGUGAGAGUGCAUUUCGUUCCAUCAAAACAAGAAGAAGAAAGAGGAAGAAGAAGGAGAAAGAGCCUCUCUGACGUUUUGGCCUUCGGUUUUUCUUCUGCUUUAGAAUUUAAAGAGGAAUUCGGGAGAGAAUUCGUAGAGCUGGACUGUGUGUAAUGUUAAGGAUCUAAUUACGAAGCUUUUCUGUGAGCCUGUUGUGUGUUCGCGGGAGAGAGAAGGAGAGAAGAGCUUGCAGAGGUUGGUGAUGGAGAAAACAGAGCUCGAUUUUGGUAGUUUUAAUGUAAUCUGAUUUCUUAGAAUGACCGGGUUAUUUUGUGCAAUUUCUGUUUUGCAGAUACAUUCAGAAGAGCUUUUGGAGGAAUUUGAAGUGAAAUCGAUUGCGAUUUGCUGGGAUAAUUUCCAAGGUGGACCUCAUUUCAUUGAAAUUUACAGAGAAAAGGUCGAGAAAUCUAGUUUAGAGGUGAGGGGAGUUGGAUUUGCUUAAUUUCCUAAACGAUUUCACUCCCUUAUUCUAACUCAUCGUUCGUUUGAUUUUGGUUUCACAGGUACAUUUCCCGGAGAUUUGACCCCUUUUUUUUGAAGAAAUCUCAACUGGGGUAUGAGAUAAAGAAGAACAAGCAUCUCUCAUUCAUGAGUGUCAGGGACAUAGGCUCUAAGUUUCAAUCAUUUCGUUGAUUUUCGGCUCUAGAUUUGCAUUUUGCAAAGUCAGAAGGCCUAGAAGAGCAAGAUUACCCAAAAGAAGCAAACUUUCUUUUGCAAAUUCAGGAUUGUAGCUGCUUGCGAAAUCUCAGUAUAACAGGUGAGGAUUCAUUUUCCGAAUCCUAGAUCAGUGAAACCAAGUCUCGGGCUUAGGAUUUCACUGGCUGAUUUGAUUUCCUUCCAUUUUCGGUUCUUCGAAUUUUGAUAUCUUUCUACUCAAUUUGGUUUCUUCAAGGAGGCUCUCACUUUUCUCUUCUUUUUCCUCAUCUGCAGCAGAGUCCAAGCAAUUGGUUUCUCUGUUUUUUGAUUUUCGAUGUUCAAAAGCAGAUAACUUUGCAACAGAAUUUUAAGCUUUUCAAAUGAAGCCAGCCGAGUUCCUUGACUCUCUCUCUCUCUCUCUCUCUCUCUCUCUCUCUCUCUCUCUCUCGCUCGCUGGGUCUUACAUUUGGAUCCAUCAUCUUUGUCCAUCAUCUUCUUUCAAUUUUCUGUCAUCUGCCUUCUGUGCAAGAAUUUUCAAUUUCAAAAAACUAAUUGACCUUUAUAUUUGGGAAGAUUAUCUCUUCUUCUUCGUCUUCUUCUUCUUCCUCUCCUCCUCCUCCCCAUUUUAAAGGCUUUUAAUAUAUUUUUCUGAAUGAUUUCCGUCUGUAUUAUCAGCAUUGAAAAGAAAAGACCUUCUCUAUGAAAUUUUACCCGCUGUUUUGUGAAAAAUCUAUCUAUCUUUGGUGUUCUUUGCUGGCAGUCCGAAGUUUGUGUCUUUUCCGAAAUUCAAACACCAGCAGAGUGCAAAAUCUUCUGUUUGGUUCUCGGGAAACUGAUACAAGAAAAAACUGAGCUAACAGACGUAAUUGCUCAACUUAUUUAAUCGCAAUUCGUUGGAAGCGUCUGAUAAAAAAAAUAUAUAUAUAUAUCAAAGAUACAAUUUUCAUUCUUUGUCCUUUCCCUGCCUUUUUUUUUUUUCGAUCUUCAUCUUCUCCGUCUGUUUGGGUAGGCCCUGCUUUUCAUUUGAAUUUUAUUUUUAGGCACUCGCAGUUGCAGAGAGCCAGCCACAAUCCAAUUCCAGAUUCUCAGUUUUUGCCAUUUCCGUCCCUAACUUUAAUUAUGAGCAUUAACCGCGGUUAAAGUGUAAAAAAUCAUGUUAACUAACUAACCGCUGUGAUUAAUUCUUGUUUUGGCAUGGGUGGACAGGUGUACAAAAGGAGAUGGAAAGGGACUGUCUUAGGCACACCCAUACUAAAGACACCCACAAUCCCAACACUCGAGACAAAACCGGAGGGGACGCCUCAGCCUCUCUGCUGUUGAGAGCGAGCCCCGAUGCCAUACGACACGCAACGACGUCGUCCGAUUUCGUUUUGCAGUGGGGGAACCGCAAGCGCCUCAGGUGUAUGAAGAUCCAGGUCAAAGACAAGGGCAAAGACGACUCCGACGCCCCGGUUACCCGAACCACAGUCCGGGUCGACCGCCGGGUCGUCCGACCUGAUAAGGACCCGGCCAAUCAGCCUUCCACGGCCGGUAACUCUAAUCAGACGAAUGGGUAUUUGAAUCUCCGUCAACGGCCGUUAUCUCCGCAGCAGCCGCCACUUCAGCGUGUUCUCAGGUUACCACUUGCACUUCACGCUUUUGCUUUAUCUAAUCUAUAUCUAUUGCUUCCACGGGACGUCGUUUCGGUCCUGCCUUUCGUUAACAUGUAGUUUCGUCGUUUUGUGGGGUAGUUGUGGUGGCGUUUUGUCGUUUAAAUUAGUGGCGGGUGGGCCAGGUGCGUGGGUUUUGUCGUUUUUAGUUAUUUUGGGACUUGUUGCCUACGGUUACAUCUGUACAGUUUUGGUGCGGUUUUUAUAUAUACCUUGAUCUCACCGUCAGAUGCAUGAGUCAUAAUCAUCAGAUCAGGAGAUUUUAUAUUCAGACUUGCUUGAUUUUAGAUUUUAGAUUUGUGAGGAAAAAUCUCAGAUGAUUGCGUGGCCAAUUUCUCUACGUCUGUGAAGGUCAAAGAGAAUAAUUUUGUUAGGUAAGUGUUUGUUGCUUUGAUUAGAUUAUUUCAUAUGCAACAAUAGAGUGAUUGCAAAUUCUGUUAUCUUCUUCCUUGUUUGGUUGAAGAGAAAAUCUUGUUUGCGUGAAGGGAAAAUCUCUGAUUUUCUUGUGCAAAUUUGUCGCUUUAGAUUGGAUUGAUUUAUAUGAGUGGGACUGGAUAAAUGGAUAAGGCUAGAAAGCAUGGAAUUUUGUCCCACACCACUGGUUUUUUAUAUUCCUGGCCUGCCAUUAACAUGGCUGUGUUUAAUCCUAUGUGCUUAAUGUGUAGUUGAAUGAAAUUUUGUCGGAGGGUUUUUGAGAUUAGGAGUUUUAAUGAUGAAAUUUGGGGCUGAAUUUGUUGUGAGGCUUAUCUUAAUGAUCAACUCUCCAAUUGGUCAGGUGGGUGAAGAGAUGUAAAAGCCCCAGAAGGAGAGCUCAUGGUAAGUGCAUGAGGGUAGGGUGCCUUCUUUGUUUGUCUUUGUAGGAAACUAGUAGCAUAUGAUUGAAUUAGGUUGCUCAUGUAGUCAUGUAAUCUUUUUGGCUUGAUUGUGCACAACAUAAAACACAUUAACAUAACAAACAACUUAAAUUAGAGAAAGAGAGAGUCUUAGUGCCAUAAGGUCAAGCAUUUACCCUCACAUUCACGGCAAGAGUUUGAUUCUUCCUCGUUCGUGUUUUUCAGGAUGCGGUAUUAAAUUAUGGUAUCAUACAGGAUGGUGUAUCAAUAAGUUGAUGUCAAGCAUGAUUGAUUUGAUACUAGUUCUAGUUUUCUUUUUUGGAAUAAAUGCCUUAUUUAUUGUGAUUGAUUUGUUAUUUAUUUUAGACACGAUGUUAGGGCUGAUUUGAUCAUAAAUCUAGAAUGAUUAGGCUUGAGUAAAUUGAUUUCCACUAGGACUUGUGUAGCAGGCUUAUGUUGCUCAUGGUCACACCGGAUCGGGGCUCCACUACAUCUUAGCAUGAUAGCGUCCGAUCCAUAACGACCGGCACCCUGAUUCCAUGGGCUCAGUGGAAAUAGGAAAUGGGCAACUCCUAUUCCACGUGUCCACGGAAAACCAAUUCUUCAACCCCGUUUCUAGCCCUGGGAUCACUGAUGGAUCAGGCAAUGGAUCCACGCCUUCCACGUUUCAACACGUGUUCCUUAACCCCACAAAAGGCACUCUCAAUCCAACGGCUAAAAUCCUGCCCAAAAACCAGCUGUGCACGUUAUACAGUACAUCACAUCCCUUUCCUCUCUCUCUCUCUCUCUCUCUCUCUCUCUCUCAAAUAUCUAACUUUUCAUUAAAGAAAAGAAAAUUAACAACUCCCUCGUUUAAAAGCAGAACACAAAGGUCCCCCAAAGAAGCCAAAAACCACGCUAAUUUUCUACGCAAAACCCAUUACAAAGCCUCUCUCUCUCUCUCUCUCUCUCUCUCUCUCUCACACCAAUCCACCGAUCUAGAUCGUCUCAAGGCCAUUCCCGUAAUUUCACAACUACCCACAUUAAUUUAAUUUAAUUUAAUUUUUUGCCCAAAAAGUAUCAUUUAUUAUGUUUUGUGCCAGCUUUUUUAUGGGUUUAUUGAAUUCAAUUGAUUUGAUUUGAUUUGAUUUUGAUAUGCGUAUCUGAAUUGUGUAGAAACUCAGAGACCACAACAAGUGCCAUGAGAGGCCAGAGCAACGGAGGCUUGAGGGGAAUUGUUUCACCCGACAACAGAGGGGGUGCGCACGAUAAGAAAGGCAACCACCACCAUCACAACCACCACCACCAUAAUAAUGAGAAUAACAACACCAAGUCUGCAGCUUCUUCGGACACGGCGCACGAUAGUAAAAAGGGGGGAGGUGGGUCUUCAUCGGGAAGCGGCGAAGCAGCGUUGGCGCCACCGAUGGUCUGGCCGCCGAAGUUCGUGAUUGCUUUGACCAACAAAGAGAAAGAAGAGGACUUCAUGGCAAUCAAAGGGUCAAAAUUGCCUCAGAGACCCAAGAAGAGAGCAAAGUUCAUUCAACGCACCCUCAAUGUAAGCUCCUCUAUUUUCCUUUUUUAGUUACUUUAUUAAUUAAUUAGUAUUAAUUAAAACUAACUAGUUUUUUUUAUUUUUUUUCUUUCUCUUUUUAAAAUAACACCAUUGCCUUGCAAAAACAAAUCAAAACCCAGUUUGAUUUUAUUAUAUUUAUAUGGUUGUUUUACCUGUAUUUAUGCAAAUUGUUGUUGCGACAAAAUGUGGACUAGCUUAGAAGGAAGGAAAAGCAAAAAAUAAUAAAAUAAUAGAAUAAUAAAUAGAACUUUCUGGUAUUUGUUUAGUUUGGGUUAAAAGAAGCCGAAGAAGAUUGCUAAAGUGACAGCAAGAACAAGGCAUACACGUGUCCGCCAAGCCAUGUAUGCAUAUACCUAAUAUGCCUAAAAGUUAGUUUGCUGUCCGACUGGAAUAGUAUUAAUAGGACGAUGGUUUGGGUUAAGAUUAAAUUCUAUAUUAUUCAUAAUAAUAUGAUAAUGAAAUAUUUUAUUUAGGGUCGCCUCGUUUAGUGGAAAAUUGAUGUCACACGUGGCAAUACAUGGUUGUUGCUUUUGGGUUGGUUAUCGUGGCGAUGGACGGUGCGUGGCGUCUCAUGUGGCCGCAUGUGAUUUAGUGGGCAUCAGUGGACGUUUAAAGCAAGUGGGCCUUAAUUCUGUACUAACCGACAAAAAAAGGGCAUAUGGGUCGAAACGGACCCUGGGCCUGUUACCGUUGGUUUUUUUUUGGGGGGUUCUUUUUGGGAAAUAAUAUGCUUCAUGUUGAGGGCAUAUAGGUAUUUUCACUAGCCCUUAAUUAUGCUAACUGUUUUCUGGCUUGGACCGCACUGCCAACUGCUGAGCACAAAAGCACGAAAGCUGACUACCCACAAUGCACCGUUUUCGUUUUUUAAGUUCCAAACAUAGCAAAACUCAUCAAAGUGCUUAUCAAAAAGCCUAUCCCGCUUUUUGCCCAUUACCUAAAGCAAAAGCUACGCUUUUGCCAGUCUGUUUUUGCUUGUUUUGGCCUCUUCCUUUUAAUUAGCUGGAAGAUUAUUGUUCUAAUUAGUUUUUUAUUUUCUGUAAUUUUGUUUUAUAGCUGGUAAGCCCAGGAGCAUGGCUCUGUGAUCUGACCCUAGAACGGUACGAGGUCAGAGAGAAGAAGAUUUCCAAGAAGGUAUUUUAUUGAGUAAUUUUCUUCGAUUCAGGGCCUAAAUCAAAUUUCCUUAAUUUGCCUUUAAUGUUGAUAUUUUUAUGCAGCAGAAUGAAUAGUUUUUUUGUGUUUUUGCAUGAUGCUGCAGAGACCAAGAGGGCUAAAGGCGAUGGGCAACGUGGAGUCUGACUCUGAAUAGAAAGGAGUUUUAGUGAAAAGACUAAUAUAGCAUUUUCGUUUUUUUUCUCCUCCUUUUUUUGAAGGUAUGAGAAAAAUGUUAGAACUUUGUAAAAAUCUUCACCUUUCAACCAUCAGAAUAAUGAAUGGAUUCAUUUCCGGUCCUGUAUACAGUCUUGUUCCUCAUCUUCCUACUAAGUUUGUUUAAUCAGAACAAGAAAAAAAAAACAAAUCAUCACGUCCAAGCACACGAACAAAUGAAAUUUCUCUCUUUCAAACCCUAAUUGUGAAAAAUAAUUAAAAUAAGCUUCAGGGAUGUAAUUCAAGUGGUUAGUCAUGACAUGUUACACAAUCCAACAAUUUUUUGUUUUCUUGUCAACCUACAACACAUUUUCUUAUGUCGUAUUAAGUUAGAAAAGGGAAUUAACGGUGUUGGAUAGUCGUCCAAACGCACGUGAGUGUCUUAUGAUUGUUCAUAUAUUAACAUAUGGGUCUCAGUCUAACAUACAUCGAUGACUUACGGUGGAAGUGCUCAUUAGGCAUGGGCAAAAUCAGUUUCAGACUUCACCAUCCGAGUGAAAAAGAAACUCGAGACUCGAUCGCUCUCAAGAUGUGAAGAAAAUCACGAAAUUGACUCUUGAGACGAGAUUUGAGACUCUUUAGAGGUUAGACUUCAAGAAGGAAGAAGAAAAACAACAAACCAUAACUCUCUUUAGCUGACACACGUAACGUAAAACCACAAUAUAUGAAUUUGCAAAGCUAUUAAAGACAAUGACAUCUAAAAAUUUACCCGAGACAGGAGAAAAACCAGAACCCCAACUCCCUAAAGUUACCUAGUCAUUAGCAAAUUGAAGGGCCACGUCUAAUUUAUAAUGAUAAGAGAUAAUAUCAUUGUUUGGUCGCAUGAUUUGUGGAUGCCACUUUACAUUAUGUGGCCUCCUUAAUUGGUAUUUUGAUGUGACACGGAACACUUAACGCGGUAAUUUAAUUUCUUAACGUAAUUGACAAUUUCAAUGAAAAUCCAUGACCUAUCAUAUCAGACCACCAAACCAAACCCAACUGAAUUAAACUAUUGGAAGAGGAGAAAACAUGGGUCCUAAUUCAAAUUAACAUUCAUAAUUCGCCAUCAUUGACGGGAAGACCCGAAUUAAUCCCCUUAAUUAUGCCACGAAGAAGCAUAAACACAUUUUAAGAAUAACAUCUGCUCUGUGAGAGUUUGUGGAGACAGACAGAUCCACCACCCACCAUCCAGCUGGUUCUCAAAAGGCAAUUCUAAUGCUACCUGCGGGUCGUGAAGAAAAGAGGAAGAUUUUUCAAUUUAAUUAGCCCCCAAAAAAUAGCAUGGAAAAUACCCCCAAAGGGCCCUAAAUAUACCCUUACCCACUGGGCAUAUUUGUCAAUAAACACUGAAAUUAGGGAUUUUUUCAGGACCCAAACACAAUUGCUAUAGUCGGUGACCCAGAGCCUAUCAAAUUAUAAACUCAUUACGUGUUGCAGUUGGAAUUACAGCUUUAUUCUGUUAGAAUAAAUGAUUAAUUUACACCGACUUGGCUACGCCGCUUUUUUGGUCCAAGCGAAAAUAAAAUAAUUGGAUCUGGAUUUGUAAUUUGCCGCUUUUUAUUUGCAGGUAAUGAAAAUGAAAUAACAAUUUGGAUAUUAGUUAAUUUUGAUAUCACAAGCUAGACAAACACCAUUCUCAAAGCAACUCAAGCAUCAAACACAGGAGGAGGAGGAGGAGGAAGACAAACGAAAUAAAAUCAAUGAAUUAUUUACUCAUAAUAAGGAUAAUAAUCGAAAUCCACAAAUACAAAACCCAUAGUAAUAAACCAAGUGCAUUAUAUAUGUAGUCUAUGCACCACAAAAACCCAUAUGACACUGAAAAUCCUAUAGAUCCAUAAUCACCAGCUACUAAAAUGACAAACGCUACUAAUAAAAAACCAAUCAGAAACCCAACCGCUCUCUACACAGCCCCAACCAUAGUUGCAGUAGUAAGCGAAGACUCAAACCCUGAGCGCAGAUCCGAAGACGAUAGCGGCGAAGGCGGCGGCGAAAGCAGAGAUGAACGACGGGGAGAUGGAGGCGGAUGCGGAGGUUGGGCUAGGAGCUGGAGAUUCGGCGGCCUGAGCGGCGCCGAUGACAGAAAGGACGGUGACGAAGACCGCCAUGAGAGCCACGAGUGAAGUUGCCUUUGAGACUGCCAUUGUUGAUUGGUGUGAGAGUUUCUUGUGCUUCGGAAUCUAGGGUUUUGGGAAUACGCCGAGAGACUGAAGCACAAAUAUCAGAGGUGGAAUGAAGUAGGCUCAAGGAACGUAUUUAUAGCGGGGAUUUUGGGCUGGGGUCGGGCAGCCUGGGCAGCUGCCCGGUUCUACAGGCUGGCUACUUGUGAUUGGUUCAGCGCGACAGCUCACACCGCUGGUCGGGGUAAAUUUUUCUCUGUGGGCCCCACUAGAAACCAGUGUCUACGCGGAGUCGUUUCACGCACGAUUUUACCUUCGUCUGAAACGACGCCGUGUGUUCACAUUCCUUAACGAAAGGGCUUUUCGCUUCGCGGCCGAGUCGACUCAGUGGAGAAUAUAUUCGCAAGAAUCUUCUAGCUUGCGACGCGCGGAUCAGAUUCUGUCCGUACGGUGUCAUUUGAGUCACAUCACAUGAUGAACGGUCCAGAUGAACCCGUGGGAACACGUGGGAAUGGAAGAGGUUAUAACGGUUUCGCGGUAAAAAAAUUUGGUUUUUUAUUUAUUUUUAAACUUAAAAAAUGGCCCACAAUGCGCAAUCAGGGAGAUUACAGCGCAGAAAACACAGAGAGGAUGCGUGACUUUCUGGUGAGCGACUCGAUGGCCAACGGGCGAUCGACACGUGGGGAUUUCGAAAAAGACAGGUUGUUAAAUUGCGAGGAAAAAGAUACGACAGGUGUAGGGUGGGAUUUGGUUCUGUUGCUUCUGAUAUUUUUAUUUCGCGGGAUUUCCAGAACAUUCGCUUGGCAUUUUGCGUUUUGGAGUUGAGGGGCGCACAUGCGUGCGGGUGAAGUUACCGUAAUGCCCUUGAGAGUGAUUGGGUGCGUGUCAAUUUUAUAUUCACGUUCAUUAUGAGGAGCUAUGAGUAUCUACUUAAGAAAACCAAAAGGAAUGUGGCGCUGAAUCUGAAUGGGUUUGAAGUCCAUUAAUGCGUUCCAGGGCUUUUCAACAUUUUGUUCCAUAUUCCAUGCCGUGCCCACUGGCUAAUGGGUUUGAUGUGGGCCCAACAUAUUCUUUUCUCGUCAAAUCCAAAUAAAGAGGCCGGGUGUUACGGGAGCUCCUAUAAUCCAGGUCGGUUUAUGUCGUCGAAGUUUCAAUUCAGCUGUCUAAUAAUAAUACUCUUAAAGUGUUGUUGAACGAACUCACAAAUUAACUGUGUUCACUUUACUAAUAAACUAUUUAUUGAAUUAUCAAUUUGCUCUAGUAUAAAAUGACCAAAAAUGAUAUAUUGAAUUGUGAAAUAAAUGUAAUGUUAAUAAAUACACCAUACACUAAAUAAAUAAAUAAAAAUUACACCUUUCUCACUAUAUUCAACCAAAUUGAACUUUUGUUUUCUUUUUCUUUUUCUUUUUCUUUUUCUUUUUUGGGUUUGUUUGUUAACCUCAAUAAUAAUAAAUGAAUAAUUAGGGAGGGACCAACCAUAAAGCCAAGCAGGAUUAACAAAUAUGUAUAGAGAUGGGUUAGUAUUAUGAGACAACCAUCACAAUGUCUGUCUGAUUCAUAUAGAACUGCAUAAUUAAUGACAAUGAUGAUAUUAGUGUGUAUCAGGGGUAUUUUUAAAGUUUUUAUAAUUGUGUAUUAGUGUGUAUCAGGGGUAUUUUUGGUAGUUAAAUAUGGUGUACUUAGUUAAUUUUACAUUUUGAUUUAAAUAUUAAAGUAUGUUUAGAUCAUAGGGUGUACUUAGUUAAUUUCAGAGUUCGUUUAGCAAUGCUCUACUUUUAUUGAUCAGACAACUAUGAAGACUCCCACACUAUAGCCUCAUACAAGUGGUACGCAGCAUAAAUGGGCAUGUAAACCAUAGAGGACCAAGAUAUAGAACCGUUGACGCACGUAAGUUCCACAAUACUGUUAAUAUAUGUGCGGGCGACUCCGAGUAACUGUUAACCUAGAGUCAGAGAAAUGAAAUUCAAAUAUAAAAUAUUUUAUUCUAAUGUCGAUUUCUGAAUACAAAAAUGUGAAUUUGAUGCAGUGCUAAAUAAGGUGUGCUACUUCUCUGUACAUCUGAUACUGAUACUGUUGUGGACGGGGGUUUUGGCCAAAGAGCUAUCAAGUGAACCUCAACUAAUAAUAAUAUUACAGCUGAGGUUGAAUUCUAUGAUGACAAAUAACACACACCACAAACAGGGAAUUUUGCAUGCUCUUCGGCUAGAGAAGUUUGAUUUGACUGAGGAUUUAUGUGUUAGAAGCCCAAAAACUUUGGUGCUAAAUGCAGAAGGGGUUCCAUAGCACUUGGAGCAAAUUUUCUUCCAAAAAGAAAGCAGAUUGAAGAGUUCCGGUCGUUGUAAGUGCAGCGAUGACCCUCGAGCAUUCUCUUGAAGAAUUCCUCAGUGAUAUCAGCUCUUCCAAAGGUAGCUGGGUGAGGUCCACCCCUUGACCAAUCCACCCAAGUGAUGCUUCUGUUUGCUAAGGAAUUCCCUGCUUGAAUGGUUAGCAUGGUGGGGAAAUAGUGCUCAUCAACAUAACAUGCGGGUCUACAGAACUUUUCAAAUUUUUGGUAAAAUGUCGUAUCUUCGACAAUGCUGAUGGCAAGCUUCCGGUUAACUUCAAACCAUUGGGAGCCCUUGCGCCACUGGGUUAUAUUCACUUCAGGUGCCAUGUUAUUAUUAUAGCGUCCUCUCCCGAAUGGCCCAGGGUCGUCAAAUGCACCGAUGAAGCUGUACUUGGAUUUCAUUAAGUAGUGGUAAAUGACACUGAAGUUAUAGAGCGGAAUGCAAGAUUCGGAAACAAGAAUGAACCAUUCAUUGGAUAUGUCAAGCAAUGCAUUAGCAAGGAGCCUUCUCUCAGCAUCACACAUACUCAUUCUUCCCCACUCAGAAACCUGCACAGCAGAAAACCAAAACUCUUAGCAGAUAUGUAAGAGAUAUUGCAUAAUAUCUAUCCAGAUUUGAACAGAAAAAAUUUCUACAGCAGCAACCAAGAUGACCUCAAAGAAAUUAGACAAAACAAGUUAUCCUCAAGCUACAAAGCAACAACAAUAUAAUUUUCCCUGGAUACUCUGUUUUUGAAGCUACUAACUGCGGAUCAUGAGUUUCUCUUUUGUUCAAAACACCCAGGUUAAAAAGUAAAACAAGCAGAGAUUUUAUGGAAUAUGUUCAUGAAUCUGAAAUAAAUACUUGGUAUGUUUCUAUACAAGCUUGAACUCUAUCACAAAGCAUCAUUCACAUAAAUAAUUAAUUUCUUCCUCAUAACCUGAAGGCAGAUAUCAUGACAGUAUGGAAAUGUCAUGAUUGUGGCACGAGAACAAGUCAGGAAUCAAGAACGUAGAUUAAAAAAAAAACAUCAGGACUAUGUGAAGAGGUCCAGGGUGCCACCCCAGUAGUCAAUGCCUUUACAUCAGCUGUUCAUCAUGUACGAAAACAUUUAUGCAUCUGCUUUUUUCAUGUUUAUAAACACAGGUGUUGUAAUAGUCUCAAGAUCCAAAAGUUAGCAGCAGAUGGAGUGGACCUAGUGGAGUUUCACAUGCAGGAUUGUCAAAUUCAUGGAAUAAAGAGUCAAAUCCAUUCACUUAGUUGAGUUUGCACUUGACACACGAGUCCAUGGAACAAAUAGGGCGUCCUGCCCUCCCCAAGAGAUGGUCUAUAUAUCCUACAUCACUGUAAUUCUCAAUACAUGAACAUGAUAAAACUGACCUGUUCCUUUCUACCAACACACAGAAAGGUAGUUUUAACCCUUUCUUUGAUGAUAAGCAAAAAUUACCAACUCUUGGAAAGAUGAAUUUCGGAUUUCAUCAUGUCUUAAGCUUCACAUACAUAACCUAACAUUUUUAAAUGCAAGAGACCAGGGUGUGUGCUCACCACAGAGCAAAUAUAGGAAAUCAAGAUGUGCAGAAAGUAAAAACCAGAUAAACCAGUGAUAGAGAACUAGAUAUCUACGAAUUUACCUCAAAAUAAAAAAUAAAAAAAUAAUUUUGUACUUGCUGAAGGAUGCUUAGUAGAACAUGCAAUCUCACAAAGGAUAGAAUAUGGACCUGGCUAGGAAUGUGUCUCCCAUAAAAAACGGACGAAGUGUGAAAAUGAGGUUGAAAUGACGGCAGUGAAUGAACGUAGAUUGAAUAACGUCCUUCAUGUCCCUUCAGAAACCUCUCCCAAAGGGGUGCCAGCGGCAACGGCCCCCUGGUCAAGAACAUAAAUGCAAUCUUUGGAACUCUCUCAAAAGGAUACUUCUUUAUUCUAGGCAUAAGAGAAGCCCUCCACAAUAAUUCCUUAUCAGUCAUAGUGUGUUGAAGAUUUGAUGGCGGCUUAAUCCACCGGUCCAAACCACUCGGUUCCUCAUAGCAUGGCUGGAAAGAGGACGUGACCGUUGUCAUCACCCCAUUAAUUCCAAAAUGACGAAUCGUCAAUAUGCUAAUGACUGAGAAAGUAAUACAGAAAAGCACAAACAGCACAAACAACUGAAGUAGCCUUAUCGGCAAUGCCUUGGUUUGGUUUGUCCUGCCAGUAACUCCGGGGUCCUUGCCUUCCUCUAAUGGCACAACCCUUGAUUGCAUGGUUUGCAUCUUGAUUAAAACACUGCACCAAAAUCAAUUUCUAGCUCUUCUGAUUACUACAGAGUACCUCCAAGUCUCAAAAUUUUGGACACCUAUUGACUUCUCUCAAACAAGAAAACCCACAGUCCAAAAUUGCAUCUUGCAUCACAAACGGUGAAGUGAACACGAAUUUAAUCACAUUGGAAUCUGAAUCACUCAGUUUUCUUCAAAACUGCAACCCCACCAAAUAAAAACACACUGCACAGAUCUGAAACUAAUACUACAGUACUGAACACAUACUGCGUAAAAAAUUUUAACUUCAGCACAUGGGUUCUUAAUAAACUGAGCUUAUAUCAACGAUCUAAGCUAAGAUCAUACAAAUAUGGAUCGAACUUCUCUUUCACCAGAGAAAAAAGUAUGACAUACCAUGUGACUUUUGAGGUUGAAAGCUAAAUUGAUGAAGACGAAUGAAGGAUUUAGAUCCUUGUAUUUGACUGCUUGAAUUGCGCCCAAGAAUACGGGAAGUGGUCAAUUGGAUGAAGAACAAGAGAACAGAAGGAGGAGGUCACGCAGAGGAGACUUUGGCGGCAGAAACAAAAAGGUGCAGUGACCAAUAAUAAUGAGAGAGUUUGAAAAACUUGGGGAGAAGUCUUGACCGAGUGUGCGCGUUGUGUGUGAGAUGAGAGAAUUGUGAGGAAGACGACGACUCUGUGAUGAUCUGUAGAAUCUCAAGUUUUAAGAAUGUCUCUCACACGGUGCGGUGCGAGUGAGGAGGGAGAGGGGAUCCAGCUUGUCGGCUAACUUGGGAGUGUGAUAUAUAAGCACCCAUCCAGUUUCAUAGCUUGGUGGAAAAACGAACUUGCCUCAUCUGUUGCGUGUGUGUAUUUUUGGGUAAAUUCAUUAGUGACUAAAAUGAUAAAAAUCGACCUUCGGAUGCGAUUACUAUGUUUUGAUUAUUUUUUUUCUUUUUUAGUAGAAGCGAUAGUUUCUAAACUGAAUGAAAGUGGAAUUUCUCACACACACACAUCUAUAAUGUCAUGGAGAUUCAAACUUGAGACCUCUAUUAUGCAAGUUAAAAUUUUUCCACGCAAUAGACCCUGUUGGCGAUACACUUUGAUUUUAAGAUGGGCAGAUAACAAUAGAAACUUUAUUUUAUUUAUUAUUAAUUGCAAGCACCCUAUUGGAACACGUUUCACCCUAUUGGAGCAUAAUUAGCAUCAAAGCAAGAAAAUCAACUAUUUUCCCCCCUCAUAGCCGCAUAAAAGAACAGAUAAAAGGAUAGAGUAUAGAAGCCUAAGUACAGAUGUAAAUGUAAUUAUUGGUUAGAGAUUGGGUUUAGUUUAAACAAGUUAAUGAGGCUUUGAUUGGUUGUUGAAGCUUAAUGUCUUAUGGUGGUGGAGAACCCAAUUGUAUCAAACAACGUAAUAAACACGACGUGGUGUAGUUGGGCAGACCGCAAGUCUUGGCCUCUAGUUAGGUGGGAUUUCAGUUCUUUCACCAAACCAAACAAGCCAUGAGGAAAGCUAAAGAAAGUCUAAAGGUAGGAGCCAUAUGUAGGAUCAAAUCUGCCUAGUAACCAGUUGUAUAUCCCCUUCUGUCUACAACACUUUACAUUACGUAAUCGGUUGCAUAUUUCUAUUCUAUCUGUUUAAAACAAUCAUCAUCUAUAUAUAUAAAGCAAAAGGUAGAGAAUGGUGAAACAUUCAAAAUACCAGAAAAUAUCCUUGGUUAAUGCAAACAUUAAGAACUAAACUUAUUAAUUAAAUGAGGAUAAUAUGGUAAAUUUACACUUUUUAUAAAAAAUUAAAAUUAAAUAAAAAAUAAUGGAUCUUAUUUUUAUGGAACACUUUUUAAUUCUAAAAAAAUUUUAAAUUUUUUUUAAAAAAAUGCCUCUCGCAAGCGCGUGCAGAGAAGCUAGUGUUACAUAAUGAGUGUUGUAGACACGAGAAUACAAAACCGGAGAUAGCUAAGAUUCUCUCCAUAUGUUGAGUCUACACCUACCUACAACCGCAUCUAAGAUUCCCCCAGCAAUAAGGACACAGGGACAGCUGAGGAUCCAAAAUGGUUCAUAUACAUGGGGUCCCGAUCUCGAUCUAAACUUCGUUAAAAAUAAAGUUGAUUGGUUGAUAGAAUCAACCACACUCAAAAAAACAAGCAGUUUUAACUCGAGAGAGGAGUAGAAUCAACCACACUAAAAAAAAUAAGCAGUUUUAACUCGAGAGAGGAGUAGAAUCAUAAAGCCUUCGCUGCUGUGAAUGGCGAUCCUGCAAAACAAUUCAUGAUGUAACUGUGAUUUGCAAAGAAAACCAUCCAUGCAUUCAUUUUGAACGUGUGAUAUAAUAACACGUCAUAUCGACAAUGAGAUCCUUGAAAACUGAGCAACGUCACAACAUUAGGUCUGUAAUUUGCCAGUAUAUCUACUGUCUAUGAAAACGCCAAAGUUGAAGACUAAAACUAAGAUACUACAGAGCGUUUUCUGCUCACAGUCACAGCACAUGAAACAGCUAAGAUGUAGAUGUUUCUAUCUUAUUCACAAAGGAACAGUUAGCUCCACAUCCCAAAUUCUAUAUACCAUGGCAUAUUUCUUGUAGCAUAUACCACUCUACUUCACCACAAAACUGGCACGGAGGUUGGAAACCAUAACUGGGCACUCUCCCUUCUCAUCAUAUUCAACAAAGUCCCCUCCCGACAAGUCAACAUGGUCAAAUUUUGUCCCUUCCACCUACAAGAAUGAACACUAGUUUAAGUUGAAAUAAAGAUGCAUCCAGCAGAGUCGAUUGCAGUACAUAAAAAUGAAAACUAGAACUUCAAAAAUCGAAACUAUUCUCCUAUUUUCAAAAAUUCAACAAUUCAAAUGCAAAAAUUCAAUUCACUGGGGCCUCUAGUAAUUCGUUUUUCACUCCUUGUUUCUUUUUCUAAAUUUCAUUAUCAAUCUAAUUUUCACUUUUAUUCUCCUUGGGGUAGGGAAUGGCGAUAGGCGGGCAUGACACUCCUGGCCAAGCAGAACAGUAAAAAUGAGUUGACAUUUGGUGACACCAUCUCUGGUCCAAUCCACAUGGUAGGCUUCCAUAGUAAAUCUAGUGUACAAGACAAUUAUACUGUUUGUGGGAUGCCCUUAACGUCAGAAAAAUAAAAUAUCACUAUUUUCUGCAGUUCCCACCUCUUGAAUAUGAUAUGCUCAUGAGAUGUACUAACCUUAAGAUCUUUAUGCUAAAGGACAGAGACCUGAGCUUUCUCACCCCAAAAAGAAAGGAUCAGAACUCAAAAGGACAAAAAUACCAAAAUAAGCUUUGAAAGGCGCUACCACAUUAUGGAAUAGGAUAUGCAAUCCUUAAUGCUUAAUGUACUAUGUACUAUAAGUACAAACAAGGAGAGUUAAGAAGAGAAGAAUAAAAGAAUUUAUACAUAUGCGCUGAAGUUCAUAGGAGUUAGUGAGAUUUAGUGCUUAGGAAUGUUCGCACGAUUACUAUUUAUAAGACCAUUCAGCUCAAAGGUCCCAGCAAAGUCAUUUUCCAUCCAUAAGUACAAUAAGAAAGUUUUAUACAAUAUGCUACAUAAUUGGAAGGUGGUGUGUGAAGAAGAGAAACUUACAGAUUCAACCUUCCACCCACUAGCAAAUACAUAGUCCACAGGCUCAUAACCCCUGCACUCAAACAUCAUCAAGGGGGAAAAUUUCCUUUCUUCACACAUUUGCUGGGUCAGUGGUUUACCAUGACCUGGCAUCAUUGUCAGAGUUCCAUCCCUUCCACAAAACUUGCACUACAAGGGGAGAUGCAAAUCACCACACAUAUAUAGCAAACUUAACCAGAAAAUAUUCGUUCAAAGAUAAAACAUAAAGGGAACAACCCCCAUAUCCAUGAAUUGAAGAUAUGCAAUAGUAAUAACUUAUGUCAACGUAGUUGACUCAUAUGUCAUCAAAUAGAAACUGCACAGAGAAAUGUGUUGGAACCCACACAUGUAAACUUUAACCAAGAGAAGAGAAAUGAAAUCCCGAUAAAAUCUCAAAGUUGUCGCUACAAUUAGGCACCCAAACAAACAAAGCAUUUGCUCAACCAAACAAGCAUACUACAGAAAACACAAACUACCAUAACUCUUCUGUUCCUUUCCUUCUAUUUCCUCAGAAACUAAAUAUACUUCAAUAAGCUCUUAAAUUCCAAAGCCCAUUGAGCAAUUAGUAGAGAGAGAGAGAGAGAGAGAGAGAGAGAGAGAGAGAGAUAAUGGUUACCUUCUGAACGAGAUUAACGGUUGCCUUGCCCGAUGGAAGAGGAACAGUCUCGUUCAAGCUCACACAAGUUUCCCUCUGGCUCAGCUCUCCACACCUCUCACAUUUCAACUGCAAGAUUACAAAAAGAAUAGAAUCAUGUUAAUAAUGACUAUAUCAAGCUCGGGAGACUAAGCGACGAACAUCGACGUCAAUUUUAAGCUACAACCCCUAGAAAUCUGAACACGAACACCAACUAUAAUGACAAAAUCGACUGCAUUUUUGGAGCAAAAAACUUGACGAAAGGAAAUGAAGGUGACCUUGAAGAGAUAGGAAAAGUUGGGGUCGUUGCAGCCUUCCUGGGGCUGAAGGUUCGUCAGGUUCUCGAGGUCCGCAGCGAUCUGAAGUAAAAAUUUCACCAUUUUCGAUUUGGCGUCAAUCUCGAGCUGCUCACCGCGUCUUUGUCUCACUGUGUGUAGCUAGUGGCAGGAUGAGUAAUAAAUAAGGGGGGCUUGGGCGACGAAUAGACGCUAUCAGUUAAACGGCGUCGUUGUGCGGAAUUUAAUUUUUUUCCGACACGGGGAUUUUUAGCUCAAGUUAACUACAAUUUACCCUAAAAUCGAUGGCCUAUGUUCGAAUCAUCUUUCUUAAUAUCGUUUGUAUUUUAAAAAAUAUUAAAUUAUAUGAAUCAUAUUGUGAUACCUGUUACAAAGAGAAGUUUAAUAUUAUGAAAGUCUUUCAAGUAGCAAAUGUGAAUUAGGUCAGUUAGUCAAAGUAGUGUGUCCAUCUUUUUUCACAUUAGUUUUUAGAUUUAUGAUAAUAGUACUUCAUUUGAAAUUUUGAAGGCCAUUGAAGUGAAGGAACCAAAGCAAUAUUGUAGGAAUUUAACAAUCAUUUUGCCAUUCUAAUUUGUGAGGACACGUCAUAAUGUUAGUCCUCAUACCAUUUUCCAUUUUACACACCGCAGUUCAAAUAUUGGACCAAAAAACAAAACGAAAUUGGCAUGAUUGGAAGGUGAACCAUGCAAAGUUUGCAGAUAUGUAAUCAGAAUCAUGUGCUACAUAUUAUGGAGGCACUGUCCUUGAAGAGAUUCAACUAGUGUUGGGAUCUUAGCCCAUCUCAUAUACUGAAAGAAAGAUAAUUUCCAUUUCAUGAUUUUGGGUGUUUGUGAUUAGUUAACAACAAAUUAAUGGGGGGAAGGGGGUUGUUUGGUGGUGAAGGGAUUGGAAUAAGGGGCAUAAUGGUAAUUAUGUUGGGAGCAACUGUGACUCUUAUUAGAUGUGGGGUGCUUGUGGAGGGUAAGUUGUUCUCUAAACAGAAGAUUUUGGAAGCCGAAAGACAAUUAAACCAACUUAGAAGGCCUGCAGUUAAAACCAUUCAGGUAAGAAUUGUCCAGAACUUGAGCCCUUCACAUAAGUUUUCUGCAUUGUAUUCAUUUACUCAGUUCAUAUUAAUCUCUAUGAUUGCUUGUAGAGUGAAGAUGGUGAUAUCAUUGAUUGCAUUGACAUCUACAAGCAGCCAGCUUUUGAUCAUCCUGCUCUCAGAAACCACACCAUCCAGGUCUGCCUUCUGUUGUGCAAGUUGAAAGUAGACAAAGAUUUACUCUGCAACUUUAAUCUUUUUGCUACCAUAUAACAACUGCUUUGAGUCUUUUUUUCAGAUGGCACCAACAUAUGAUACAACCAAGGAGACAAAGACAAUGAAAAAAAUGGACAGAUGGAAGAAGAGGAAUGAAGAACAAUCUCCCAUUACCGUGAAGCAAACAUGGCACAAAAGUGGAAGCUGUCCUCAGGGAACAAUCCCGGUCCGAAGAAUCCAGAAAAAGGAGCUUCUGAGAGCUAGCUUGGUUAAGGACUAUGGAAGAAAGAAGCACAGUUCUACCUUGUCUCGUCAUGUUUCACAGUUAAGUGACAACAAAACUGUGUACCUUCAACGAGCAAACCACUCGGUACAUCAAUUCCCCACACACACAUUUUUAAUUCAUUGGAAAAUUAACUACAACUAUACACCUAAUGAAGAGGGUUUUUUUUUCUCUGUGUGUAAUUUGUGAUGGCAUCAGAAGGCAAUAUUGUUUACAGAAGGGUACAGAUAUAAUGGAGCCAAAGGAGACAUCAAAGUUUAUAACCCAUCUGUCGAGCUUGAUGAUGAAUAUAGUACUUCUCAAGUUUGUCUCAUAAAUGGUGCUUAUUAUGACUUUGAGAGUGUUGAAUCUGGAUGGGCGGUAUAUAUAUAUUAACAUAAUAAACCCUUUCACUUUCAUCUUGAAGCUACUUACUUCUUCUGUCAUAUUAUGUUCAUGGCAUAACUUUUUAGUCUGAAAAAUUACUCUAAUCCCUCUUCAGGUAAAUCCCAGUGUAUACGGGGACAGACAGACUCGAUUUUUCGUGUAUUGGACUGUAAGCAGCCAUGAAUAAAGACUUAACAUUCAUGCGAGUAAUUCCACUAGAUUUGAUGUGAUUUCUGAUGUUUCUGCAGGUUGAUGGCUCACAGAAAACUGGUUGCUUUGAUCUCACUUGUCCUGGAUUUGUUCAGACUAGCCAUGAAAUUGCUCUUGGUGCAGCAAUCCAUCCAAUCUCUGUUCCUCAUGGGCUUCCAUAUCAAAUAAUAGUCUACAUCUACAAGGUCAGGUCAACAGUUUAACAACAUAACGCGCUUGAUGAACAGUUUAGCAACAUAACAUGUCUAACAUUAUUCGUAAUACUAAAUAAGUUUUCCUAUCGUAUCUUCAAUUGAAUUUCUUUUUUGUUUUGCCUCCAAAUUUAGGAUCCAGUAACAAGCAACUGGUGGGUGCAAUAUGGGGAGAGAAUUAACAUCGGUUACUGGCCGCCGGAGCUGUUUGUUUUAUUGAGCUACCAUGCAACAAGUGUUGAAUGGGGAGGUGAAGUUUAUAGCUCAAGAGUGGGAACUACGCCUCACACAAGAACAGAUAUGGGCAGUGGACACUUUGCUGAGUCAUCAGUUUGGGGGACUUCAGGCGUCAUAAAAAGAAUUCGAGUACAUGAGAAUUCACCUGGGCUGAAAUUCCCUGAUAUAGUUAAUACUUUGAUGGAUGAGUUCAACUGUUAUGAUGUCAAGUAUCUUUCGGAUUAUGUUGAAGAUCCUGAGUUCUAUUAUGGAGGGCCUGGUAGAAAUUAUAUGUGCCCUUAAGCUUAUGUUAACUUUGCUAGGACUUGUUUAAGACCCCAUUAGAAUGGGUAAUUAUGUUGUUUUAAACUUUCAUUAGUUAUUUUUUCAAUAUCAAACUCUGUAAACCCCAUCUUAUUUCUCAAAAUGACAUAGUUUUAGACAUAGACACGAUACAAGCACUAAAAACACAAGUGGAUAAUCCUAUUUCGUCCCCAAAAGGAAAAGCCUUAGAGAGUGGAAAUCUCCUAAUAAAUUGGUAAAAAUUAGGCAUAUUAAUUUUAAUUUCUAUCCAGAGGUUGCGCAAUAUUUGAAUUCAGAUUUAGAGGGAAGUGAAGUUUUUGGUGUAUAGGCAUCGAUUGUGUGUUACACUAACAUAACAUGUAUAACUUUGCACAAACGACUUGGAAUUUCAUUUUUUAUAUAUAUAAUAAUCGAGAAAAAUAUUUGUCUCAUUUCUUAAAAUGAGUCAUUCCUCCUUACAUGCAAAUUACAAUUUGACAUGAUCUACACGUGUUAGGUUGACUCGUUUAAUUCUACUAUUGACACGUAGCAUUAUCUCCUAAUAACAUAGAAAUUUAACAAUCAUACUGUAGAAAUUUAACAAUCAGUUCAUACUGUAGAAACCAAGCCAUACUGUAGAAAUUUAACGAUCAGUUCUUCUUUGGCUAAAGAUUUAUGUAGCUGGGUUUACCAAGGUUAAGGACACACUUGUCCAAAUAUUCAACAGCUACCAUUUUGAAUUUAACACUUGGCAAUUCAAAUAUAGAAUAAAAAUGUGAAAUUUGCAUGAUUUGGAAGGUGAAUCAUGCAAAUUUUGCAGUAUAUGUAGUUUGCAGAAGAUAUGUAUGCUGCACAUUGUGGGUGGCAUUGUCCUUAAAUAACCUAAGCUUAACUUAGAUUCUGAAAGCAAGAUAAUCAGUUUCCAUUUUAUGAUUUUGGGUAUUUAAAUUACCUGAGAUUUAGUAUAUAAUCAAACAAAUGGGGAAAGGGUUGUGUAGUGGUGAAGUGAUUAGAUUAAGGGGGAUGAAGAUGAUGGUAAUUAUGUUGGGAGUGACAGUGACUCUAAUUAGAUUUGGGGUGCUUGUAGAGGGUGAUUUGUUCUCUAAACAAAAGAUUUUGGAAGUUGAAAGAAAAUUAACCCAACUUAGAAGACCUGCAGUUAAAACCAUUCAGGUUUGAAUUGUCCAGAAUGAGCCCUCCACACAUAAGUUUUUUUAUUAUUGUAUUCAUUCUCAGCUCAAAUGAUUGUUUGCAGAGUGAGGAUGGUGAUAUCAUUGAUUGCAUUGACAUUUACAAGCAGCCAGCUUUUGGUCAUCCUGCUCUCAGAAACCACACCAUCCAGGUCUGCCUUUCUGUUGUUCUAGCUGAAAGUAAAAAAAAGAAAAGAUUUACUCUGCAACUUCAAUCUUUUUACUACCAUAUAACAAGUGGUUUGAGUCUUUUUUUAGAUGGCACCUACAUAUGAUGCAACAAAGGAGACAAAGACAAUGGGAAAAAUGGACAGAUGGAAGAAGAGGAAUGAAGAACAAUCUCCCACUACAGUGAAGCAGACAUGGCACAAAAGUGGAAGCUGUCCUCAGGGAACAAUCCCGGUCCGAAGAAUCCGGAAAAAGGAGCUUCUGAGAGCCAGCUCGGUUAAGGACCAUGGAAGAAAGAAGCACAGUUCUACCCUGUCUCGUCAUGUUUCAGAGUUCAGUGACAACAAAACUGUGAACCUUCAACGAGCAAACCACUCGGUACACCAAUUCUCCACACACACAUUUUUUAAUUAAUUGGUAAAUUAACUACAACUAUACAUCUAAUGGAGAGGGGUUUUUUUGUUUUUUGGUUUUUGUGUUUGUGUAAUUUGUGAUGGCCUCAGAAGGCAAUAUUGUUUACAGAUGGGUAUAGAUAUAAUGGAGCCAAAGGAGACAUCAAAGUUUAUAACCCUGCUGUUGAGCUUGAUGAUGAAUAUAGUACUUCUCAAGUUUGUCUCAUAAAUGGUGCUUAUUAUGACUUUGAGAGUGUUGAAUCUGGAUGGGCGGUAUAUAUAUUAAAAUUAAUAAACCUUUUCACUUUCAUCUUGAAGCUACUUACUUCUGUUACAUUUUAAGUUCACGGCAUUACUUUUUAGUCUGAAAAAAUGCUCUGAAUCCCUUCAGGUAAAUCCCAGCGUAUACGGGGACAGACAGACUCGAUUUUUCGUAUACUGGACUGUAAGCUGGCAUGAAUCAUAAAUUAGUUUUCAUAUGAGUAAUUCCACUAGAUUUGAUAUGAUUUCUGAUGUUCCUGCAGGUUGAUGGUUCAAAGAAAACUGGUUGCUUUGAUCUCACUUGUCCUGGAUUUGUUCAGACUAGCCAUGAAAUUGCUCUUGGUGCAGCCAUCUAUCCAAUCUCUGUUCCUAAUGGGCUUCCAUAUCAAAUAAUAGUCUACAUCUACAAGGUCAGGUCAAUAAUUUAACAACAUAACGUACCUAACCGAUAGUUUAGCAACAUAACAUGUCAACAUUACUACUUGUAACACGAUAAUAGGUUUUCUUCUCGUAUCUUCGAUUGAAUUUCUUUCUGUUUUUGUCUCCAAAUAUAGGAUCCGGUAACAAGCAAUUGGUGGGUGCAAUAUGGGGAGAAAAUUAACGUCGGUUAUUGGCCGCCGGAGCUGUUUGUUGCACUGAGCUACCAUGCAACGAGUGCUGAAUGGGGAGGUGAAGUUUAUAGCUCAAGAGUGGGAACAACUCCUCACACAAAAACAGAUAUGGGCAGUGGACACUUUGCUGAUUCUGUUUGGGGGACUUCAGGCGCCAUAAGAAGAAUCCGAAUACAUGAGAAUUCACCUGGGCUGAAAUUCCCUGAUAUAGUUACUACUUUGAUGGAUGAGUUCAACUGUUAUAAUGUUAGGUAUCUGUCAGAUUAUGUUGAAGAUCCUGAGUUCUAUUAUGGAGGGCCUGGCAGAAAUUAUAUGUGCCCUUAAGCUUAGCUUAGCUUUGCUAGGACUUGUUUAAGACCCAUUAGAAUGGGUAAUUAUGUCGUUUUAAACUUUCAUUUAUUUUUCCAAUAUAAACUAUAAAAACCCAAAACUCUUAUCCUCAAAAUAACGUAGUUUUGGACAUAAACACCAAAAACACAGAUGAUUCUAUUUGUGAGAAUGUGAAGGUAAAGAGUCCCACAUUGGAAAGUUGAGAAACCUAGCAAGGGCUUAUAAGGAGUUGGGUUACUCCCCCCAUUGCCAAUUGGUUUUGGGGUAGAACCUCAACUUCCUUCAUGGUAUCAGAGCAAGGCUUCACAUGUUGAGCCCAACAGCCACACGUGCUCCCACGUCACCCAAUAUGUGUUGUCCACGUGUUAGGCUUGAAAGUUCGCCACACGUGCGGGGGCGUGUUGAGAGUGUUUGUCCCACAUUGAAAUGUUAAGGGACCUAGCCUGGGUUUAUAAGGAGUUGGGCAACUCCCCCCAUUGCCAAUUGGUUUUGGGGUGGAACCUCAACUUCCUUCAUGGUAUCAGAGCAAGGCUUCACGUGUUGGGCCCAACGGCCACACGUGCUCCCACGUCACCCAAUAUGUGUUGUCCACGUGUUAGGCUUGAAAGUUCGCCACACGUGCGGGGGCGUGUUGAGAGUGUCACGUGCUCCACGUCACCCAAAAUGUGUUGUCCACGUGUUAGGCUUGAAAAUUCGCCACACGUGCGGGGACGUGUGAGAAUGUGAAGGUAAAGAGUCCCACAUUGGAAAGUUGAGAAACCUAGCAAGGGCUUAUAAGGAGUUGGGUUACUCCCCCCAUUGCCAAUUGGUUUUGGGGUGGAACCUCAACUUCCUUCACUAUUUCAUCCCAAAAAAGAAAAGCCUUAUGGAGUGGAAAUCUCCUCAUUAAUUGGUAAAAUUUUGCGUUAGUUACUUACCAUCUUCAAUUUGACCGAAGUUCUAUCCAAAGGUUGCACAAUAUUUGAAUUUAGAUUUAGAGAGAAGUGACGUUUUUGGUGUAUUGGCGUCGAUUAUGUAUACAUUAACAAGUUCAAUUUUGCACAAAGGACUUGGAAUUUUUUUAUUUUUUUUAUAAAUAAUAAAUCAAGAAAAAUAUUUGGUUCCUUGUUAAAAAUGAGUCAUUCAUUUUCAGAAUGCAAAUUAAUUUGACAUGAGUGUAAAUUUUUUAACAUGCUUUUAAUAAGUUAUUUAUGUAUAAGUGUUAAGUUGCGAUUUGAAUGUAAGGAGAAACGACUCAGUUAGUUCUAUAAAUCAAACUAGAAGAAACACAUACACAUCCGUGUGUAAUUUGCUAAUUUGUAAUACCGGUUGCAAAGAGAAAGUAGGUAUGGUGGAAGCCUUAAAAGUCCCCCAAUACAUUGUAUAGCCGUGCGGCUCUACUUUUAAAAUUUUCUAUUUAUAAAGUAUAGCCGGCUAUACCCUAAAAACGCCGUGAAAGCAAAUUCUUUCUUUAUAUAUACUAGCCUCUCUACACGCGCUUCCGCGCAUGCGAGAGGUUUUUUUAAAAAAAAUUUUAAAUUUAUUUUAGAAUUAAAAAAGAUAAUAGAUAUUUGUGUUCCAUAAAAAUAGGAUCCAUUAUCUGAAUUUUCUUUUUUUUUUAAUUUUUUUAAUGCGAAAAAUUGUGAAUUUACCAUAUUAUCCUCAUUUAAUUAAUAAUUUCAAUUCUUAAUGUUUGCAUUAACCAAGGGUAUUUUCUGGUAUUUUGAAUGUUUCACCAUUCUCUGCCUUUUGCUUUAUAUAUAUAGAUAGAUAUAUACAUUACCGCCCAAUAGAUUUGUAAUUCAAAGCCGUGCGGCUAUACUAUUUUUUAUAAUAACAACCAUAGUAUAGCCGACCGGCUAUACCCUUUUUAUUAUAUAAAAAAAAUCCGAGUAUAAGUACCAUUUUUAAAAGAGGACCCACUGGAGCCUAGCGCCCCCUUUUGCCAUGUGUCAAAAAUAGUACAGCCGAGCGGCUAUACGCAAUUAAUUAUAAAAAAAUAAGUGUAGCCGAGCGGCUAUACUAUUUAUAAUAAAAAAGGGCCACCGCUUAACGAGCAUGGCCAAAGUAUAGCCGCGCGGCUAUACUCUAUAAAUAUAAUAUUCUGAAGGUAUAGCCGGUUGGCUAGACUCAUACUCGUUUGCCCGUAAUUUGUUUUUAAAAAGUAUAGCCGACCGGCUGGACUCGGCAUUUUCUUAAUUGUUUUUUAAAAAUAGUAUAGCCGAGCGGCUAUACCCGGGUUUUUAAUUUUAUUUUAGGGUUCAGGGUUUAGGGCGGCUAUACUCGUUUUCCCCUAAUUUUUUUAAGAAAUAGUAAAGCCGAGGGAAGGAAUCAAGCCAUAUUGUAGAAAUUUAACAAUCAUUAAUUCAUUGGCUAAAGAUUUGUGUAGCUAGGUUUAACCAAUUCUAAGGAAUUGUUUAAAUAUUCAACAGGAUACCAUCUUGAAUUUAACAUGUGACAAUUCAAAUAUUGAAUAAAAAUGUGAAAGUUGCAUGAUUGGAAGGUGAAUCAUGCAAAUUUUGCAGAUAUAUAUAGUUAUCAGAAAAUAUAUAUAGGUUUAGGAAGAUAACCCAAGCUCAUCUUAGAUUCUGAAAGGAAGAUGAACAAUCUCCAUUUUAUAAUUUUGGGUAUUUGAAUUACCUGAGAUUUAGUACAUAUCAGACAGAGUUUAGUUAACAAAAAAUGGGGAAAGGGUUGUCUGGUGGUGAAGUGAUUAGAUUAAGGGGGAUGAUGGUAAUUAUGGUGGGAGUGACAGUGACUCUAAUUAGAUGUGGGGUGCUUGUGGAGGGCAAUGUGUUCUCUAAACAGAAGAUUCUGGAAGUUGAAAGAAAAUUAACCCAACUUAGAAGGCCUGCAGUUAAAACCAUUCAGGUUUGAAUUGUCCAGAACUUGACAUAAGUUUUCUUCUCAUUGUAUUCAUUUAAUCAGCUCAUAUGAUUGCUUGUAGAGUGAGGAUGGUGAUAUCAUUGAUUGCAUUGACAUUUACAAGCAGCCAGCUUUUGACCAUCCUGCUCUCAGAAACCACACCAUCCAGGUCUCCCUUGUAUAAGUUCUAGUUGAAAGUAAACACAUUUUUCUUCUCUGUGACAUUAUAUAUUUACUGAUAAUCUAACAAAUGCUUUGAGUCUUUUUUCAGAUGGCACCAACAUAUGAUCUGACGAAGGAGACAAAGACAAUGACAAAAAUGGAUAGAUUGAAGAAAAGGAGUGAACAAUCUUCCGUGACAGCAAAGCAAACAUGGAAGAAAAGUGGAAGCUGUCCUCAAGGAACGAUCCCAGUCCGAAGAACUCGAAAAAAGGACCUGCUUAGAGCUAGCUCAGUUAAGGACUAUGGAAGAAAGAAGCACAGUACCCUGUCUCGUCAUGUUGCAGAGCCUAGUGACAACAAAUCUGUCUACCUUCUACGAGCAAACCACUCGGUACAUUAACUUCCCAUUUUCACAUUUUUAAUUGAUAAAUUAAUCACAUCUCAUGAAGAGGGGUUUUUUUUUUGUUGGUAAUUUGUGAUGUCCUCAGAAGGCAAUAUUGCUUACAGAAGGGUACAGUUAUACUGGAGCCAAAGGAGACAUAAAAGUUUGUGCCCCUUCUGUUGAGCUUGAUGAUGAAUAUACUACUUCUCAAGUUUGUCUCAUAAACGGUCCAAGUUUUGCCUUUGAGAGUGUUGAAUCUGGAUGGGCGGUAUAUUAACAUAAACCCUUUCACUUUCAUCUUGAUGCUACUUACUUCUGUUACAUUCUAUGUUCAUGGCAUAACUUUUAGUCCGAAAAAUUACUUGGAAUCCCUCUUUAGGUAAAUCCAAGCGUCUAUGGGGACAGAAAUACUCGAUUUUUCUUAUACUGGACUGUAAGUUGACGUGUUUCAUGACUUAGUUUUCAUGUGAGUAAUUCCACUAGACUUGAUGUGAUUUCUGAUGUUCCUGCAGGCUGAUGGUUCAAAGAAAACUGGUUGCUUUGAUCUUACCUGUCCUGGAUUUGUUCAGACUAGCCAUGAAAUUGCUCUUGGUGCAGCAAUUUAUCCAAUCUCUGCUCCUGAUGGGCUUCCAUAUGAGAUAAUUGUCUACAUCUUCAAGGUCAGCUCAACAGUUUAGUAACAUAACAUGUACAGUUUAGCAACAUAUAUAUCUGAUAUCUGAAAAAGACAAUGUAAUAUUAAGUGUUCUUCUCAUAUCUUCGAUUGAGUUUCUUUUUUAUUUGCUUCCAAAUUUAGGAUCCAGUAACAAGCAAUUGGUGGGUGCAAUACGGGGAGAGAAUUAACAUCGGUUAUUGGCCUCCGGAGCUGUUUUUUGCAUUGAGCUAUCAUGCAACAGGUGUUGAAUGGGGAGGUGAAGUCUAUAGCUCAAGAGUUGGAACUACUCCCCACACAAAAACAGAUAUGGGGAAUGGACGCUUUGCUAGUACUGCGGGAUUUUCAGGUGUCAUAACAAGAAUGAGAAUACAUGACAAUUCACCUGCACUGAAAAUCCCUGAAUGGGCUGAGACUUACAUGGACGAGUUCAAUUGCUAUGAUGCUAUCUAUGUUGAAGACUACGUUGAAGAUCCUGAGUUCUAUUAUGGAGGGCCUGGUAGAAAUUAUAAGUGCCCUUAAACUUAGCUUAGCUAGGAAUUGUUUAAGACAACACAAGUCGAUAAUACAAUUUCGUCCCGAAAGGGAGAACAUUUCCAAUUAUCAAUGUUUACCAAAAUGGCAUAUCAGCUUAAUUUCCAGGUUUCCAAAUGAGGUUUUUUUCUUGGUAGGUAACAUGGAAUCUGUGUUUGUAUGUAGUCGGUAUAGCAUAUCUUAGAAGAAAGUGAGACAGAAAGGUAACAGAGAUGUUAAGCAAAUGUCCACGAUUCACAAUAUGUGACUCUCUAAAUUAAAUGAAGGGACAAAAUGCUGCUAAUGGGAACAUCUUAAUUCACUGGAUAAAGAUAAAACCCGUUUUCUGUACAUGCAAUUAUGUCCAAAUAUUGCACCAAGACAAGAGUACUUAUUAUGUUUCUAUAUUUAAGAGAGGCGUGCAUGAACUGCACAUUUGACAUGUGGAUGAAGCCGCGAGGACUUGCAUCAUAUAUAUAAUAACACAUUAUCUUCUUUCUUUUCAACCAGACAUGCCUUCAUUUGGUUUCUCAAAGGUUAAUUUUACCACCUAAUUAUCCUGUUAAUUUUAUCUAUAGCUUGAUUGUAUCUCUCUGUGUGUACAAGAGUGUAAGUGAGACACAAAAAGAGAUUGAAGAUGGGGAAGAAGAGGGCUUUAAUGUUCUCGUUAGCAUUGGGAUUGUUUGUUUUUUGUGUUAGUGCAGCAGAACAUCACCAUGUGAAGGCUAAAACUAAACGAAUUUCUUUGGAAGUUCAUAAGAAGUUGAAGCUUUUGAAUAAGCGUGGCGUGAAGACUAUCAAGGUCUGAUUUUCUGCCAUUUUUAUUAGCUUUCUGACUAAUCACACUUUCACAGAAUUUUAUCUAUAUCAGAUCUGUUAUACAAUUUUCUUUCAGCAGUCUUCUCCAUUUCAAAAUUUAGCUCAACCCUUUGUGCUAUUGCCUCUGCUGUCUUAAAUUUCACAAUUUCUUCUUUGUUGUGCUACUGCUAUGACUUGGUAAGCUCAGAGGACUGACUGUAUGUUUUACCACUUGAUUAUUUGAUUUCUUGCAGAGUGAGGAUGGAGAUAUCAUUGACUGUGUUGACAUCUACAAACAGCCUGCUUUUGAUCAUCCGGCAUUGCGCAACCACAAAAUUCAGGUCGACUUUUAAACCUUUGUACAUUUGGAGAAUGUAUGAAACAAAAAAUAAAACAUUCUCCAAGUUUUAAAAACGUUUUAAAAACAAUCUCCAAGUUUUAAAAACGUUUUAAAAACAAUCAUGUUUUCUUCCAAAUGUUGAUAUAGUUGGUGUAUAAUAUUGCAGAUGAGACCCAGUAAUCAUGUACAAAAUGAUCAUAAUUCUUCUCAGCUGGUAUCUCAAAUUUGGCAAAGGAGCGGAAGCUGUCCAGACGGAACCAUUCCCAUUCGGAGAAUUCGAAAGCAAGAUUUAUUGAGAGCUACUUCACUUGAAAACUUUGGGAAGAAAAUGCCAGUGCAUUCUUCCUACUCCCCCACAGAUGACAAGGGCACUGUGUACAUCAACAGCACCCGAGUCGAACUCGGGCCUCAAGUCAAUCGUUCAGUAAGCAAACAUCGUGAAGAUUUAAUUAACAAAGUUUACUUUGAUCCUUGUCUAACUUGUGCAAAACUGUGUUUGCUAGGCUGCUAUCCUGUUAACUACUGGAUACAAUUACAUAGGUGCUCAAGGAGAUAUAAAUAUUUGGACUCCAAGAGUUGAAUCACCAGAUGAGUUCACUACUGCUCAAAUCUGGCUUAAGAAUGGACCUGGAGAGGCUUUUGAAAGUGUAGAAUCAGGCUGGGUGGUAAGUAGUAUAUUAUGGUAACUUCAUUUGGAAAAUAUUACUUUUCAACUAUCAGUUCCUCAAAAUCACUCCAUAUAUGUGUAUAUAACUGCUACUCUUUUUUGCUCCUCUUCGUUUGGCUUUGGACAGGUAAACCCAAAGGUAUAUGGUAAUGGAGCAACUCGACUUUUUGUAUAUUGGACUGUAAGUACUUCAUUACAAAAUGAUCAAAAGAACAGGAAAAUGUAGCAUAUAUUAUGUUUGCUCCAUCUGAAAUGUGCCUGCACUUAAUUCUUCUUUUUUUUUUUGGGUUUUUUCAGAAGGACUCAUACAAAUCAUCAGGCUGCUUUGAUCUCACCUGCCCAGGAUUUGUGCAAACCAACAAAGACAUAGCCCUUGGUAUGGUCCUUGGACCUGUAUCAUCUAAAAUGGGACCCCAAUAUCAAACCACCUUCAGCAUCACCAAGGUUUGAAAAUCUUAAUCACUUUUCGUGCAUUCAAAUCAUUUCCAUUGUUAGUCAACGGGAUUUAGCCCAGUGAAAAGGGCUUUGACUUGCAAACCAGUGGUCUCAAGUUCGAAUCCCCAUGGCACAUUGACAGUUGCAUGUGCGAGAAAAACCCAUCCCCUUCCUAAAUUUGACGCACAAAAAAUACAUUUCCAUUGUUGAACAAAAAUGUGAUGGUUUAAAACAUACGUUGUAGGAACCAAGCACAGGAAAUUGGUGGGUGCGUAUUGGCCAAAACGUUCCUGUGGGAUAUUUUCCUGGAGAGCUCUUCUAUUAUUUGACACGCGGUGCUGCAACAUUAGUUGAAUGGGGAGGAGAAGUGUUUAGCUCCAAGGUGAAGCAAAAUCAUCCACACACUGCAACAGGGAUGGGAAGUGGAGAUUUUGCAUCGGGCAAAUUGGGCAAUGCAUGCUAUGUGAAGCAAGUUAGGAUUAUAGAUUAUUCAAAGCAAUUGAAGUACCCAGAAUGGGUAGGCACUUAUUCAGAUGAAGAGUAUUGCUACUCUGCAUUGAACUACGCUCUGUCACUUGCUCAAGAACCUGUGUUCUACUUCGGCGGACCGGGUCGAAAUCCUCCUUAUUGUCCCUAAGUUGUUCAUAAUCUCAAAUGAGGACGCUUAAUUUCCAUAGUUUUUUCUUGAAAUAAUGUCCAAAUAUAUGAUGGCUUGAGCCAAUGUAGCAAGACUAUUUUAUAUUUGAAGCCUAUUGUUAUUGAUUUAUAUGUGAUCAGAAAUGGACUUAUAAUUUUGGUCCCAUUGUCUGCGAUCCUCUUGCAUUGCUCACUGGUUGUGCUUUCACAGAGAUACAUCUACAUAUAUGAGCAUAUAAAAGCCAAAUUACAAGAGAUUUAUCAACAUAAUUGGUCUAAUAGCCCUAUUAACUUUAUUGGCCUCCUCACAUUCUGAGGUUUCGAAUGAUUAGGUUUUUUUUUUCUUUCUUAUUUUAAAUUUGGUGAAUAAUUAAAAUGGAUUUUGAGUUUGGUAAUUAAGGUGAUCACUUGUUCAGUAUUGACAAAGCUUGGAUCGAAAGUAACAUAAAAGGACGGUACAAUUUCUGGAACUUGAUUUUCACUUUUUAGCUUGAACUUCCAGACAACAAUAUCAGAUAUUCAAAAAUGGACAAUUACUCCUAUUACCCAAAUAGUUGCUACCUAUGCCCAAUAACACAAUACAUGAGGGGAAAUAUCGCAUAUUCAGAUUACACUGCUCAGGUUGUGGUAUUCCAGAGGUAUACAAGAUAUACAUAUACGAAGAAUAUACAAUCACAAGAUCAAGAAAUAAGGAAAACCCCAUUACAGAAUAUCAUACCAAAAUGGCCAGGCCACACCAACUUCGAUGAGACCAAUAUCAUUUGCAAGCCAAUGAGAGAAAAUCAGCUAGAUCGAAUCAUGCUGUUUUCUCUCUUCUUGUAUAGAUUGGAAAAUACGAGCAGCUGAUGCAGUUGCAGUUCUUGGAUUGUGUGGCACAACUCUAAUCGCUCGUGUUGGCUGGCCUGAAUCAUGAGGUUGGGCAACUCCUUCUGGAAUUACCGGAGCCAUUGGAAAAAGUUGAAGAGCAUCACUUCCUUCAGCAUUUUGAUCUGUCCCCAAUCGUGCUGUGUCACCUGGACUAUUUGCAGUACUUCCUUGUAGCUCACUGUCGUUAGAUGCCUGAAACAUCAUGGCAUGAGGAAUAGCUCCACUUUUCUGGGAUGGCAUAUUGCAUGAGCUUUGAUGCUGCACAUUAGAGUUUGUUCCCCCUCCUGAUAACUGAUCGAUUUGACCAUGUGAACCAGGUCCGGCAAACCAAUGCAUUUGUUCAAUGCCUGAGCUUGGCAUGGCUGGAUUCAUAACGGACAUGCCAUAUGGAGGAAAGUAAGUAUGGCCUAAUGGAGGAGGGGCAGGAAGAACCCCCGUCCCUUGAUGAUGAUGAGAAGCUGGAACCCCAUAGUUUGGCUUAACAAAGUUACCCGUCAUGGGAGUUGAGUUGAAAGGUCCACAUCCUCCACAAACUGGUCCCAUAAAUCCAGGUCCAUGAUAUGGCUUAUAUACAAGUCCUUCAGAGGGAGACAUUACAGGAAUUAACAACUGGUGUCCAGGUGAUUGAUGGAAACACCAAGGACUGGCUUUAUUAUCAGUACCGACAGGUGUUGGCUGUGGGUUCCCUACAUAUGGCCCAUAAUUUGAAGUCUGACUACCAUUUUUCACAGAAGAAAGAGAUGUUUUCCCAACUGCAUUUUCUGCGGAACAUUCAAUUUUGUUGUUUGGCUUCUCAGGUUCAUGUUUGCGCUUUACAACACGUAGUAGUGGCUUUACAACAUACUCUGAUGAAAGUUUCUUUGCAGGAGAACCCCUUAAAGAAGAUGUGCCUAGGAAAGCAGUAUCUUCAAGCAAAAGAUUAGGAGACCCAGCAAUCAGUCGUUGGACCUGUUGAAAACAACUAGAAAGUUAAAAAUCUACCCUCCUGUAGUCCUUUUGGGGUUCAAAUAGCAUCAUUUAUUCUGUGUUUAUAUAUACAUUUUUUUUUUUGGGACUAUAUACACAUAUAUGUUUAUUUGCAUCUCAUAAUUGCAUUCCAAGAGAAGCAGAAUUACAGGGUCAGAGACUAUGUUAUAGUCUUACCUUAAUGAGCCUAUGCAACUCAAAUACUUGCACUGCAAACAAUCUUUGCUGACUGUAGAAAGUAACAGGGGUUGGAUCAAAAACAUAAUUAUACAACAUAUACCAAAUCAUAUGAAACUUGGCAAAACACAAAACCGAAACCAAUACAAGGAAAAAAAAAGAACUGAACAGAAAUGAAGGAUCAGGCACUUGAAAGAAUCAUUUAUACCAAAACAAUCCUUACUGUGUAAUAUAUUCCAUAUAAAACUCACAUUAUGUAAGAGAUAACAGCCAAAGGACUAGGUGCUUUAAUCACAAAAUAUCUGCUUACCCCAUGAAAAGCACCAUAGCCUAUUAACUCCACAUGACCACACCCCCAAGCUAAUCCUUAGACUUGAUAUUGAUCAGGAGUGCAGGCAAAUAUGACAUUUACCAAACAUGGGAAGAAAACAUCUUAAGGAUGGAUUCAGAAAAUUGCACAUCAGAAAAUAGUUAUAAACAAUGAGGCACAGAUCAGUAAAAUAAUAACAAAAAAUAAUAAUAAUAAUAAUAAUAGUGAAUACAAUAAAAAGGAAAGCUAAAUGCUAAAAACACUAUCUUCAGAGCAAUAAAAACGAAAGCUAAAUGCUAAAACAGAUUCGAAAACAUAGCAACUAUCUGCAAUAUAAAUCAAGAUGUCUGCAAAUCUCCUUUAUUUCACAUAAUUAGAGCUCCAAAUAUGUAAUAUUCAAUCAAAACCAUAUAAGAACUAUACAUUCAGUUGUAUGGAUGUCAUAAAUGAUCCUCGUUACAACAAAGUCGGACAGCAAGCGCAUAAUAGAGCUUUCUAAUUCACAUGUAAAUACUUACAGCUCUUUUCUUAUAGUACAGAAAGAAAGAAAAUACAAAACCUUCAAUAACGAAAAAAGAAUAUGUAAUGAUGAGAAGAAGCCAUAUAUAGGGGAAAUCUCAUAUUCUAUAAAGCAUAUAAAAAGAGUACGCAACCCCAACCCAACAAAAUCUUCCAACACAGGACAUCAAAGCACUACAUAAGAGAUGUAAUCCUCCUCACCACCAUGUCCACCACCAAUUCCACAAUGUCAAAUAUAGUCCAAGAUCCACAAAAUGUAGUCCCAAGGAUAAUCCUUCAUCACUUGUUCCCCUCCUUGCUCCCAGCCCUCAAGUGCCAUGAAGGGAAAAUUUUCCCAGUGGCCAAAAAACCAAAGCAUUACGAAACCGAGACAGGAAUACACCCAAAAGGCAGAUACAAAAGGGCAAUGAAUAAUGAGAUGAUCCGCUGUCUCGGAGGUCGCGUUGCACAAGAUAACUCUAUUAAGAUGUAUGUUUCCCUGCUUUAAGAUGAUCCAUAUCCACUGUUAAAAUGUUAUCGAGGGCCUUUUAACAAAAAGAAAUUCCACUUUAGAAGGGAUCCAGGGACUCUGCACUAUGAAAUAUCACCUCCCUCAAAGUCGCAUUUAAACAAAAUUCAGUCUAUAGUCCUAGUUGUUAUAUUUGAUGGUGUAAACGCUUAUGAAACAAAAAAUCCAAAGUACAAGUGUGGAAAUAUUAAAUAAAACAGAGGUAUUAUGAGACCAAAAUGCUUCACAAGGACAGCAAAACAUGUACUAUAUUUGGAAAAGGGUAAACUUCAAAUUAAGCACAAAGUAACAACUGAAUUGGAGCAGCUAUUGGAGAAAAUAGAGACUUACUUGACGAUUGCUUUUCUUGCCUUCCAGAAAUGUUUCUGACCUAUUAUUCCUACAACGUCAUCGGGAGAGAUAUCCAAGCCAGAUAUAGAAUCCACCAUGGAGGUCUCUGAGACAUCAUCACUUUUGUCUACAUGUCCCAUUUGAGGUGAAAUACACGUUCUAUCUCCACGGUAUUCACUGUCAUUAUCAAGCUCAUUGGGACCACCAGGAUCCUCCCCAGAAUAAGACAGACUUCUUUCCUGGAAAACAGCUCCCUUCUCUACAUCUCUUGUACACUCAACAAGACCAUCACCUUGCCCAGUGAUGUUUGGCUGUGAUCCAGAUCUAGACUCUUGUUGUAAGCAAGCAUCACUCUCAGAUAACCUGCUGAAUCUAGGAACAGGAUAGUCUGCAUACUCUUGAUUUGGAGAUGCACUUACUUCUUCUGCAGGCCCAUCAAUCUUUUGUCUAGUUGAUAUUUUUGUGGCAGAUUUUGCUGAAUGGUCCCUAACCGGGCCACUUACUUUUAUUAGAUCCUCUUCUCUUUCACUUCUCAAUUCUCGUCUCAAAUUGAGAGUAGUUGGGGAGCUUAAUUGUUUUGGAUCCUUCUUGCCCGUAUUUUUUAGUUUCACUGUAUGGCCAGAAUGAGAUGGGCCGAUUGGAGCAAGUUUUUCCUUAUCAAUACCAAUUUGAGUUUUACUAUGACAAAGACCCAUCCUUGAUUGAACAAAUACAGGCACCCUAAAAUCAUCCUCCUCUCCGACUUUCUUUCUUUGGUCGGGUUGUGUCAAGGGCGUGUUCUCAUUUGCUCCAUCAGAUUGACGAGCAUGAAACAUCUCAGCCUGACGACUAGGUGUAGAUGGAUGAACAUGAAGCGGAACAGGCAAAUUUCCUUCAGAACGACUUCCCUGAAAACAUAAAUUGCUCCAGAAAAAUCAGAUAUGAAAUAACCAAUUUUCCCUAUAGAAGCUUCCAAUACUAUUUCUGAAAACACUAUUGAUUUUCCCUUCUUAAAGUGCAGAUAUAGCAAUAUUGGUUAUAUUGGCAUUUUCUUUUCUGGACUGAACUAUAUUGGCAAUAAAACACAACACAUGUACAUAGUAGCAUGCAAAACUACUGGAUAUAGCAUAAAACAGAAUUUGUAGUUAGCUACUACAAAAACAGAAAACAAACCUAGUGAAAUCCAUAACCUAACUAAAGCUUAAAAGGAUAACACUUCAAAACUAAUCCUCAGUAAACCUUAAACGAGAAAGCUAGGCACAAAUUAUGAGUUUACCUGGCUCGAGAAAGCUGAGGGAACCACACUGCUAGUGUUAUUUGGAUUAAGAGGCAUCACCACAGGGUUGAACCUCUGAGAAGGGAUACUGAGCUGUUCAUAGAGCGCCAUCUUAUUCCUUGGAGGUGCUCUUGGCCCUCCUUUAUCUGCAUCAUUCACAUGGAGUCUUGGGAACAUAGGUCCCAUAACCUUUUCUUCGUUCCCUCUCUUCAUUUUCAACACCAACACCAAGUCCAAAAAUCUAUUCUUAUAUUAAAUUCCCAAAACCACCCUCAAAAACUCAAACUUGUUCAAACCCAUGCACCAAAAACAUCUCUUUUGUUGAAAUUGUGCUCGCUAAAACGAGAAUACCAAAAGGGAUCUAACAAAAUCCCAGCUAGCUAAAAGCCUUCUCCUUUCUCAUAAUAGAUCAAAUUCCAGAAAACCCAGAAGCAGACCAGGCUUCUAAAACCUGAACCGACAUAAACAGACUCAGCUUAUCACACCCGAAAAAACCAAGCUCCAAAUUAGGCAAGACCCAGAUGUCAAACACCAAAAGUAAACAGAUUCCCUUUGAAAAAACGAGAGAUUUCUUCACAACCCAGCUGGGAAAAAAGGGUACUUGAGAACUGAAACUGAUGGAGGAACGAACUAAAAGCGUGAAUUGUGGAAAAGAAGGGAUAGGAAUAAAAGAAGAGCCAAGAAAGAGAUUGGGAGUUGAGGGCUGAGAAAGGCUAAGGCUUAUUUUAGGGAUUCCGCAAAGGGAUCGUCUUCUUAGAAAAAGGAAAAGUGAAAAGUGCGGGGGUUGGUUGGGCCCUUGUUUGGGAUAGACCCAGAAGAAGACUAGAACCUCCUCUUAAGAAUAGAAAAAGACCAUAUGUUGCCAUUGCCAACUUGGAAUUAUCUUUUUCUCAAGACUACUCCUUCUGGUAUAAUAUAUUUUUGUCUGAACCAUGAUUAACUCUUUUUUUAACUACUUUAUCUGAACAUAAUUCAACUCAACGAGACGGAUGAGGCCAUUUUAGUUGAGAUCAUAGGAAAAUUGAAUAUACAUGGUACAAACCCAAUUACCUAUGGUAUUUUAUUCUCAAUUCUGAUAAGUGUCUAAUAUUCAUAUUUUUUAUCUCGGUCGCAUAUGAGUUACAUUCGAGUAAGUGAUGUAUGUGCAUGAUUAUAAGUCUUUUUAUUUAUGCAGACGUAUGAUUAUAAGUAAUUGAUGAAAUGAGUCUCACAAUUCACUAAUGUCUAACGAGACACAUGCACAAUGCACAAACGACUGACGAUAACAUUCUCUUAUAUCCUCUCAUUCCUUUUUUCUUUUCUAUUUUGUUAUAAUCUCUAUCUUGCCCUCAAGAUUGGCCAUUUGGGUCAAUUUUGCACUUUUUGAUCCUAGGUGUAGCUGGAACAUAAGGGACACGUGUUAGUAACUUUUUUGGAGAGUGGGAUCUAAAUGGUGAACAGCUUGACAAGCAACACAAAAAGUUUGAUUCGGUAAAAUCUGCAGUCGUCACACACAACCAAAACUAUUUUUAUCUGAUUCCAUAAGCAUUAAACCCAAUACUUUUGCCUUUUAUAAACAUUAAACCCCACAUGAUUUUCUCAGAUAACAUGGACAAUAUCACAAAAUGGUAGUAUAGAAUAUAGAAAAUAUAGCACUUUAGACUAGUUUUGGGUUAGGGGGAAUGUGGUCCACUCCUACUACAAGUAUAGAAGUAUUCAUUUUUCUUUGUCAAACCAAAAAAAGUUUCAAUUUUUCUCAAUUGGUUUGUCGAAAAUGAAAUCGGGUCGGGUUAUCCCCACGGGCUGUCGGCUUUCUCAAACUAAAAAUAAAAAUAUAAUAAAAGAAAUGGACAUAAUAUUUGGUGAAGUGGAGAGAGAACCAGGGUUAGUUGGUUUCAGAGGCAAAAUUAGAUUGGCGUGGAUGGUCCGAUCACAUGGCCUCUUUACCUCCUCCAUAUCAGACACACCUUCCUCUAUCGCCUGACCCAGGUGGGUCCUUUCAAUCAGAUCCAAUUCACGAAAGUUUUCAUUUUUAUUACAAGUUUCGUGUGCCUUUGAUUUUAUGUUCCCUUCGGGGUUUGCUCAUUUGCUUGCUGGGAAAAAUGUGGGAAAGAAAAAAGUAUAUGCAAAAUGUUGAAUCUUUGAUGAUCGAUUUACAUAUAUGCGUGACCCCAAAUGAUUUUGAAGUGGGUUUAUGAAUUUGAACUAAAAAAUAUUUCCUUCUUUUUUUUUCUUUAAUUUUCUGGAGCACCCAUUAACCUGUAAAUUUGAGCUAUUUUGUGUGUAUUGCAGGUGAGAAACCCCUAAAUUCUGAACCCCAGUUGCCGCUGGUUCCUAUUCAUGUAGUCACUCGUGCAUCUCAGCUUCCUGCCGAGUUCCUGGAGCCAUCAGCUGAAAGGCAAUUGGUAAUUGGCUUUGAUUGUGAGGGAGUUGACUUGUGCCGUCAUGGAACACUCUGUAUCAUGCAGGUAUGUAGAGUUUUACUUACUCUGUACUCUUAUGAAUAUUUGUUCCACUUCAAAUUUCGUUCCAAUCAACCUCAUUUAGUAGAUGCGUGCCUAAUCCAAACAAGGACAUAUGGGUUGCUACUAAACUACCACAAACAAAAGAAUUAAUAAAAAAAGAAAAGCAGUUAUUUGCAUCCCAAAUUGGUUGUUGAUUGGUUUCUGAUUGAAUUUCAGCCAUUUGCUUGUAUUCCCUUGCAGCUAAAGAAAAUAACGAGAGUAUCUUACUUAUAGGUCUUCUUUAUUGUGAAUUUUCUGCUACUCAUAUCCCUGGUUCUCGUUCUUGUUUUCUUUCUGUCAGCUUGCAUUUCCAGAUGCUAUAUAUCUGGUUGAUGCCAUUCAGGGAGGGGCUAUGCUUAUCCAAGCCUGUAAGCCUGCACUUGAGUCUAGCUACAUCACCAAAGUUAUUCACGACUGCAAACGAGAUAGCGAGGUCUCUGAUUGGUUUUAUUUGCAUCCCAUCAUGUACCUUCUUGUAAUAUGACAUUUCAUUCCCAUGAUUGAAUUUUUUCCUAUUUUAUAGGCCUUGUAUUUUCAGUUUGGCAUCAAGUUGAACAAUGUUGUAGAUACUCAGGUGAGCAUCCUUUAGCACUGGCUUUAACUUUUCAAUGGAUUGUUUUUUUAAGAGAAACGUUGAUUUAUAAGAUAAUUUUGAAUUCUUUCAAUGGAUUGUUGUUUUAAGAGAAACGUAUAAUGGUAGUUAAAGAAGUAAUAUAAUUGAGAUGGAGAAAAUACUCAUAUGCUAAGUGAUUUGAAAUUUCCCUUUUGGUAUUCAGAUUGCCUAUUCGCUGAUAGAGGAACAAGAAGGGAGGAAAAGAUUGCUGGAUGAUUAUAUAUCAUUUGUGGGCCUCCUUGCUGAUCCACGCUAUUGUGGUAUUAUAUAUUUCGUGGUAUCCAUUUGAAGUUUCUGUUUCUGAUCAUAUUUGAUUAUGCUUUUGGAUUACAUUGAUUUUAUGAAAUUAAAUGAUGCUUUUAUUUUUCUAAGAGUUUCGAAUUAAUAUUAACGGGGAAUUUAUUUGAAAGAUCAUUCUUGAAGUACUGCCUCCAAGUAUUUUACGUUAGCUUAUUCCAUACCAGAAGUUUUCUGGAUGACAAAAUAAAAAUAGACAUGAGGGCAUGGUGCGUUGGAUUAUUAAGUUUUGAUCUUCACAUAUGGCUUCAGUUUUCACCGUAAGAGUUUGAAUGCAGGAAUAUCUUAUCUUGAGAAGGAAGAAGUUCGAUUCCUCCUUAGGCAGGUUAGUGCCAACAUCCUAAGAAUUUUUCUGGAUUUUUUUCGUUUUCUUAUUCUCUAUGUUUAGAUUUUCCAUAUAACUCAGUUUGUUACUAGUCUUCUUAUUGUUAUCUGAUACUAUACUAGAUUUCUAAUAAAAUAUAUUGAAGGUUUAAGUCAGUAUGGUGACUGGGAUGUGAUAAUGAGAUUACAGUCCAAUGAACAAUAGGUUUAGAAUCACUCUACAGUGGUUUUAAACUUGAGGUUAUCAACAGAGCAUUAGCCUUAUAACUUAAAUUUGUCUAUUUUGUUGAUUCAUAUUUGCUUUACACUUAGCAAAGGACUUUAGAUAAAUUUGCUUCUAGACCUGUAGUUUUACCAGUGCAGCCACAGUAUUGUUUGGGACUAGGAUCUUCUGUCAAAUGACAUUUAUUUUAUAUGUAAUGUACAGGACCCCAACUUUUGGACAUACAGACCUUUAUCUGAACAGAUGGUCCGUGCAGCUGCAGAUGAUGUCCGCUUUCUUCUGUAUAUCUAUUACAAGAUGAUGGAGAAAUUGAAUCAACAGUCAUUAUGGUAUCUUGCAGUUCGAGGUGCUCUCUAUUGCAGAUGUUUUUGCAUCAACGACAACAAUUUUGCAGACUGGCCACCUCUCCCCCCUAUUCCAGGUAUCGAAUCCUCCCUCACAACUAUACCAAGACUUCAAAAUGAGAUGAAAUAUUUUGCCUUCAUAUAAAUACGUUCUCAUAUGAAUACAAGCUUAAAGCUAUUAUGUCUGAGGCUGAUGUUCGUAAUUCGGCUCCAAUUGAUUCUGCCACUAAGCAUUAUGUGCAUGUCAUCCAUUAAUGUCCUCAUUGCUAAUUUUUGAUAGAAUUAUGUGCAUGUCAUCCAUUAGUAGAAUCUCUAGCCUCGUAAACUUACUACGGAUACCGUUUUAUGUAUGACAUUAGACCAUAGUGUUUCCCUAAUGUACUUGAGAGCAUACGGUUUUGUUGGAAUGUGCAGCAAAGCACUUUAGAGUGUACAUUUAAUUGAAUACUAAUUGCAUUUCAAAAAAACUUGAAUACUAAUUCAGAUGUUAUUUCUUCUAGCAGAUAACCUAAUAGUGGAUGGCAAUGCUCCGGAGGAAGAAAUCCUUUCAGUGCUUGAUGUUCCUCCAGGAAAGAUGGGACGUGUUAUCGGGAGAAGAGGAGCUUCCAUUUUGUCAAUAAAGGAAUCUUGCAAGUACCAUUCUAUCUCUAUCUCUGCAUGUUUCGGUAGUUUGUGCUCCAUUUUUCUCUCCAUCUCCCCCCACUUAUUAUUACUUCAAUGGUACAAUUUUACAGUGCGGAAAUUCUCAUUGGAGGUGAUAAGGGCCCACCCGAUAAGGUCAGUCCAUUGCAUUUAUAUAACAGUUUCAAAGUAGGCGUAAAAUUAAUCCAAUUUUUUUUUUUUAAAUGAUUUAAUCAUCAAAGCAAAAAACAACUGGAAUUUGGAAAAGUUUCAAAUUCUUUUGUAAAUUUUAUUUGGUUUUGAUGUAGGUGUUCAUCAUAGGACCAGUGAAGCAAGUGAGGAAAGCAGAAGCCAUGUUAAGGGGGAAGAUGAUGGACGUGUACUACUAGAAACAUAUCAUGUUGUCGUCUUCGCCCCUUUCUUUAAAAAUAAAUAAAUAAAAGAAUUCUAAGAAAUUGGGCAUCUUUUCUUUUUCUUCUUUCCGUGCUCUUUUUCUUUUCUUUCGGUACAGAACAGAACCCGUCAUCUAUUCAAAUUGUUCUGUUUAUGAAACGACAUCCUGUUGUGCAAAUAAAUUAUAUAAUUGUCAAACAAAAGGACAAAGUAAAAAAAAAAAAAAAAAAAUCUGUCGUGGCUGAGACAUUGGCAAAAUUAAACGUUUAAUAUACAAAUAAAAUCAUAGUCAUCUAUUGAUAUCUAGAAUAAUUUUUUUGGACCGACUAUGUUAAUUGCCACCACAUUGUUCAAAAGACUGGAGGAUUAAUUUAAUCACGAAGCUGUUUGCAAUCCACUGGAAUUUAUAAAUAAAAAGUGUCGCAAUCAUCUUCACUCACGAUCAAUACAAUCCUCAAUACCACAAUAUCCAUUGACGGAUGUAUGAACAAACUAAGCACACCAAAAGAAAGGACUUUCUCUUCAAUAUUUUGGCCGAGUAGGCAAAAGAAUAUGUAGACGGAAAAAAUGGCAGAAAUAACAAAAUUACUUUUGGAAACCACCGUAUUGGUAUUGUUGGCCGCCGCCACCACUGAGACUUGAGAAGAUGUCAUCGCCUCCCAUUCCCGGCGAUGAUGGGAACCCAGAUUUUCCAAGACCAGUCCCGGAACCCAUUGCUCUACCCAUGUAAUACGAAGUUGGGGGCCCUUUCUCCCUUUCAUCUGAUCCGUCAGUCAAUCCACCCACAAUCCCUACAUCCGCCAGAUUUACCUUCUUGGCUGCAAGUACAUGAAGUGAAGAGGGGAUUACAACAGCAGCCUAAACAUGUGAUUCGAAAUGUCAACAUACAUAGUCUCUGCUCAAACAAUUAUAUAGGCAUACAUUACCCGGACAAUUUUUCUAAAUCUCAACUCACACCUUGAACAUUAAGCAAAAUUUACUUUCAUGUACACACAUAUAAAUUGUGCUCAUGAAAGGCAAAAUGCUAGUUGAAAUGGUUGAACUUACGAGCAGAUAUAUUAAGAUCAAUCAGUCCACGGCUAAGUGAGUCGGCCCAAAUGCCAGAUUUCACCUGGAAAUCCUUCUUGGGUGGACCAUUCAGGUCUGCUGAAGAUUUUUUACCCAAAUUAGUGUCGCUGCCAUCAUUGACAGAACUUUGGGAAGGUUCUGAAGAUGUUGAAUCAGACUGAGAGGUGAAGGCCCCAAAAAUAUCAGAUUCACCAAAAUUGUGAAGUGGAACAGUGGCAAAGGGAUCAACAAUGUUGGUGUUUGUUGGGGCAGCAUUUGUAGACUUGGUUUCUGGCUGCGUAACUGGAUCAGGGGCGGAAAAAAGAUCUACUGUUGAAGAAGCCAAUGGAGAAAGGGUUGGUUGAGAAGCAAAUAGAUCAACACCAUUCUGUAUAAUUAGUUAGAAAAGAAGAUUGUUAGCACUGAACUUUAAACCCUGUAUGAGGAACAAAAGUAAUAUUAAAAUAAAACUUAAAAAUGGAAACUCCUAAAUUCAGUUGCUUGUUAGAAUUCCAAAAUCACAACUAAAAUAUUUCUACAUGUUCGAAGGUUGCAUAAAUUAAACUCUGCCCCCUGUAAUCAGGGGUACGCUUUACUCAUACCCCUCUUUGUUAUUGUUUGGCAUUUAAUGACAAACGUCACAACCAAAAUCGAUGACUGGCUAAGCAACAAGCACACUGAAAAAGCUACCUCAAUUGUGAAUGGGUGUACAUGAGCUAUGUGCCAAAAUUGAGUCGUAACUGCGUCUGACCUGAGUUUGAGAACUUGCUCCAUUUGCUGUCUGGGGUGGUGCUGAUACAAAAGUUGAGUCUGCAAAUGCUCCAGUUUCUGCCUGGGGUGGUGCUGACACAAAAGUUGCAUCAGCAAAUAGAUCAACCUCUGAUGAACUGCUGUUAAUCCCAGGCUUUUCUGCAGGAACAGAUGUUGGAGCAUCUAUGAAGUCAUCCAUCAAACUUUGUCCAAACAGAUCCACUUGGUUUGAGCUUGCAACAGCAGCCUCUGUUGAAAUAAUAUAGGGCAAAAUGAAAUGUUCAACUAUAUCCCAGGAAUCAUACAUAUUAUUUAAAAAACCAAGAACAGUAAUUCAAUAAUCAAUGCACUAAAAGAUUACCCCAUUAAACGUCAUUGCAUAGGAUAGAAGAAAAAGCAGGAAAAAAUUACAUCAAAAAAUAAUGUGUUGAAUGUAACUAGUGAUAUUCAUAUAAACGCAUAUGUUUGAACAACUACCAAAGAAAUGAACUAAAUAUAUAGUACAUCCUAUAGCUCAUGCAAAUAUUCAAAAGAUCAUUAUGUUUAACAAAUCAAACAAUCUCGAAAAGCAUCCUCAAUGCCUUCACGACAUCACUUGUGAUAAAAAAUCAAAGAGCCAAAUGGCAUCAAAUUGAUUGUAGCUACGAGACACAUAGUAGAUGGUAAACAUGUAGCAACAUUUGCCAAUGUCUGCCUUGCAAAACUUCCUUUUAACUAACACUAAAUUAACAACUGCACCAGAGUUCGUAUACUUACUAGCAGCAGAAGUCCCUCGGGGAUCAAAAUCAUCAUCAUCGUCAUCAGGAACAUUUGCGCUUUGAGUAUGAACUGAACUGUACUUCUCAGAGUCAUUUGAUUUAUUAGAUGACUUUGACACACUGGAUGAUAUAUUAUCCUGAUCCUUCCUGCAAGAAAAACAUUCGGAAGUUAAUAAAAACAAAAUCACAAAGCAACAUAUAUGUGCUACAGUCUCUCUGUAUACAUCUGUGCAAGGUGUGUGUGCGUGAGAGAGAGAGAGAGAGAGAGAGAGAGAGAGCUGCAGUCAAAAUUGGUCAUUUGUAAUAAAAAUCAUAAUUAUUCCCAAAUCUUUCCCUCUAGUUCUGAAUCUCAGAAGAGCCUUAUCCAGUGUUGGUCAACAUUUCUCAGCAUAUAGGCACAAUUGUUUGACCUAUCAUGAACAGUAAUGAUUAAGUACCUGCUGCCAUAGCGUGCUGAGGCCUUCUUUGAAGAGCUCUCUCGACGUGACCUGCUAGAGCUGUCCUUCUCAAUCUUGUCUUCUUCAUGUCGAUCCCUGUCUCUAUAGCUAUCUUUGAACCUAUCACCAGCUCCAGUACCACUUAGACCUCCAUAGCGUUCGCUACUCUGAUAGCUGCUACUACUAAAUGAGGCUGAAGUUGCAGAACCUGACUUAUAUGUUAUCCCAGUAGAUGAAAGUCCAAAGUACCUAAAGUUGGCAAUGUGCUAAAAGUUUAUAAGAUGAAAACUAAUCAAAAGAUUUAGAGAAGUUCAAGUAAACUUGAAAAUUUAGUCCCCAAAAAAUAAACUUACUUGUCACGAUUCGCAGCAGCUUUAUUUCUAACUUCUUGUAUUUUAUCUUUGUUAUUUAAAAGAGCCACAAUGGUUUCCGCCUUCUUCCUCACAUUUAUUCCCAAAUCCUUCCCAUUUGGCUCAACAUAUUCAAAACUUGUGAGAGCCUUCACCACCAAAAAAACCAAAGGAUAAAGAAGUUUGAGUACACUCAACCGUAUUCUUAACUUCAUAUCUGCCAAAAAAAUUCAGGAUAAUAGAAAUAGUCCUUACUGAGAUUUGGAAAGUAUGUUCUAUAAUGUCAUCCACAGCUCGUUCAGAUCCAUGUGACACCAAAUAUUCUAUAACAGCCAAUGCCUGAUACAGAAAUGAUAAUGUUGAGGGCAUAAAUACGCACAUGAUUCUAUGAAGUUAUAAUACACUAGAAUCCUCUUUAAGCACAAUAUUUGAACAAUAUUAACUGAAUUCUUACCUUAUAGACAUAACGCCAAUCUUUUCCUGUCUCAGUCAAUCUUGUCCACAAAACAUUCAUAACCAUCUGACAUUCCGAACUGAAAGAUAACAAAAGUCAGCAAAUGCGGGUAAGUACAGCAAGCCAAGUUCUUUCUGAUUCUGAACUUUACUGCAGGGAGGAUUAAACAAGGAAAAAAACAGAUAAAUGGAGUUGAAAAUUACAAUUUUUUUGUGGCCUGUGCGAUCUCUGCCAAUGCAGAUCCAUGAGGACCCCAAGGUUCAUUAUCCGUUGCAUCCAAUACCUGUAACAUAUCAGUAAUGAAACAAAUUUGCGUGAGCUAAAAUUAAAAAUCACAAAUUGAGAAAUAGCUGAUAUUCAUAUCAUCCACAGUUUACCACUAGAAGACGAGAAAAAACAAAACGUAUCAGCUACUUAAGCUAAAAUACAAAUUUGAUGCAUGGAUUUCUUAAUUGGAGAAGACUUUUUCCACCAACCUCUCAAAGCUAAAAGAUCAAAACUAAGUCCAGAAUAUCAUUAUUUCUGUCUAAAUGUAUCUUAAAAGAUAGAAUUUAAGCUUGCAAAACGCACAAUGGUACAACAAUCAUUGAACACAAACAGAAAGGGCACUAUUCGCACCAUGAAUACAAUAAUUCGAGUUCAGAUCUAUAAUUUUAAUCACAAAAUAAAAAUUCUAAUGAAAAAUGAAAAAUUCGAAGAAAUUAAACGUAACCGAAGUUAAUUAAACUCUAUUUGUUGCUUUACCUUCUGUUCCAUCUCCGGAACCUUCAAGACCUUCAGAUUCACCUCCCUCUUUCUGCACAUUAAGACAAGGAAAUGGAAUUAACAGCUGAUAAAAAUGAAUAAAUUGCGUAAAUCGAAAAUGCCAAGGUCGGAAGCUGACAUUUCUCGGACCGUUUGAUCGAAGACCUUCAUGAAAUCCAUGACAAAUCUGCAGAAUCUGAAAUAUUCAAAAAAAUAUUCGGAAAUUCGUGAUCAGUUUGGAACAGACAAAUAUUGCGAUGCAUCCGAUGGAACCGCAAAAUUUGAAGUCAAUGUAUGAAAUUUUACAAGAUUAUAAUGGAAGAAGAAGCACCUUUGAGUAGAAACCAGAAAGGAAAGGAUUGCAGAUCUUGGCGUGCGUCGCAGUGGAUAGAGAGAGAGAGAGAGAGAGAGAGAGAGAGAGAGAGAGAGAGACGUAAUCAGGUGGUCUCGUCUGUGGUUUUAAAUCUCAUAUACUGUCCGUCAUAUUUUGCAGUUACAAAGAAAUUGAAGGUUAAACCGGUAAAGCCAGCGCGGCUCGCAAUCAUAUGCUGCCAAAUAAAAAUUAUGGGCUUUUUUUUGUUCACCCAAAAAUAAUAAUAAUUUGUUACUUGCCAAAUAAAAAUUAGUCGUUUUUGUUACUUAAAUUUGAUUUGAUUUGAUUUGAUUUUUUUUUUGAGUAAUGCUAUUUAGACACACAAUAUUGACCACCUUAUGUGGCAACUGAUGUGUCAUGCUAGGGUAAUUAAUGAAAAAAAUCAGGUACAAUCUAAAACAUCAUUAGUGGCAAAAGCCUUUCUUUUGAUUGGGGACGUGACAGCUUUUAUUUAUUUAUGGGGGUUAAAAUUCAGCGCCCACUAAAGUUGUGGAUAUCAUUUGUUAGAGUGACGUUCCCGCUUAAAACUACCCCGCCCACAAACAAUCUACGCACAAUAAGCUGACUCAGAAGCUCACAUUCCUGUUAUUCCUCUAAAAGAUUUUAUUGUCAAUAACUAAAUGAUUACUUUUGCCAGAUCAUUACGAGAAAAAGGCAUUAUCCUACACACCACAACCUAAAGGAUAGAAAAAAAAAAGGAGCUUCAUGUACAUCAAUAUAAUAAAUUUGGGUACAAGUUUGUAUACACUUUUCAAGUUAAAGGGGAACAAAACUCAGUCAAUGCGUGGUCANNNNNNNNNNNNNNNNNNNNNNNNNNNNNNNNNNNNNNNNNNNNNNNNNNNNNNNNNNNNNNNNNNNNNNNNNNNNNNNNNNNNNNNNNNNNNNNNNNNNUUGAUUUGUAUGUCAUAUCAGUGUCGCUCUAGACUUCAAUCUUGACAGGUACUAAUAAAAAUAUCGUCUAUUCAGGCUACCCAACGGAAUAAUGUCGUGUAGUUACACAAGAAACUUCGUGGUAUUUGUCCUAACUCUCAUUGAUCUGAAUUGACUGUUCUGAUGCUAACGCUACUUAGACACGCAAUACUUACCACUCUUAUGUGGCCACUGAUACACACGCCAUGUCAAUGAAUAAAUGUUGUCAUGACAAUUAGAAACUAAUUGGAAACACUCAAGCAUUCCUAGUGAGUGGCCUCAUGACAGCAUUCACUUAAUUGACCUGGCAUGACACAUCAGUUGCCACAUAAAGUGGUCAGUUAAGGUGGUCAAUGUUAUGUGUCCAAAUAGCAUUUUUGGUUUCAUUAACAAAUUUUAUUGACACUCAGAAAUUAUGAAUGUACACUAGAAGCUUCUUAACUUUGGACCCGAAGUUUUUGAUUUUAAACUACCUUGUUACAAUUGGUUUCUCAAUCUAGCAAGUUUUCCUUAUUUCAAAUAGGACUUAGGUGAGGUUAUAAAAUCCAGCUCAAUUGUGGGCAUUUAAAAUCACACAAGGAAGUUGAUAGUGAGAACCAAACGAGGUAUAAUAAGUUUGAGAAAGGGUGUAUAAAGGUUUUAUUCAAUUGUAUACAUGCUCGAUUUUGAGGUUAAAAGCGAAGAUUCUUUGACAAUAUAAAUAAAAUUUUGCUGAAUCACGUAAAUUUUUAGUUCAAAAACUCUGUAAGGAUGUAAAUAAAAUUUUGUCGAACCACGUUAAUUCUUGGUGUGUUGUUUUUUUGGUUUUUUUCGUAUUUCGUAUUGGGCUUUAAGGGUGGCUCACGGUGUUUUUUGCCCUUUUCCGAAAUUAGGGUUACGGACAAACUCAUGAAAUUUGUUAAUUGGAUCUGCUAAUGGGCCCAAUAAGCCCAACCCUAGAAAUAUAUGGGGCCUGGGUUUUCUUAAGGCCGCUCGGCCUUCGCGUGCUGGUUCAUCAACUCCAUUUCCUAAUUAACUGUCUGGCUCAUUUCUUCAUACAACGAACAAAUCCCAUCAUCGUAGUCCCGCUGAUUAUUCGUCUGUCAUAGUAAAUUACCUCACAGCCUGUGAUAUAAGUCUCCCUCUUUUGUCUGGUUAAGUUAUUUCUGGUACCUAAAAAAAACUACCAUUCCUGGUCUGCUUUUACUCUUUAACCAGUCCAACCUCCGUGACCGAUCACCCUGCAAAACUCUGAACGCGGUUUUCAAUAUUGUCAGUCCGUUUUUUUUUUUCUUUUUUCAAAAUUAUUUAAAUUAUAUAGCUUCAUUUAUGUUGACCGUAGCUUUGUUCAAUCAGAUGGGUCAAAGUCACUGAUCAACUUGUUUGAUUUGGUUGCAGGAUCUUAAAAGAUAUUGUUUUGCUUGUCUGGAAAACAAAUCAGAGCAAAAAUGUUUAAGCGAGUAUUUGGGAAAGCAAAGCAGGAAGCCAAUGCCCUGCCAACUAUACACAAAUUAAACGAUGUAUGAUUUUGGGUUUGUAGGUGUUGUCAGGGUUGUGCUGGAAUUUUUCGCAAAUUUUACGAGUCUGAAUCUUGUGUUGAGAUUAUAGUUAUAUGGGUUUUUGUUUUUCUGCUAAAAGUAUUGUUUUUUGGGAUUGUGCAGACACUUGAGAUGUUAGAGAAAAAGGAGAAAGUUCUUGUAAAGAAGGCAGCUGCGGAGGUUGAGAAGGCUAAGCAAUUUACUCAAGCACGAAACCGAACUGGUAAGACCCCCUACAGGCUACAUGUCGUUUAUUUAGUUUUUUUUCUGUUCCUUUUCUCUUUUUGGUGAAAUUAUAUCAUAUGAAUAUAUGUUUUGUAUAGGAUCCGGAAAGAACUAUUUUUUUUCUUUCUUUUUGAUUUUGUUGGGUUUUUAAGAAUGAUGCUAGGCUGUUGCAUGGUUUGCCAUUUGUGGUGGAAGGACAUGUAAAACACUAGAGAAAACAAUGGAGUUAUUAAUUAACUGUUUAAAUCUGAACCCGUAAGCAAGUAAAUUAUGUAGGUUUUGAAAGCAAACCGUAUUUUUUUCGCAAUUAGUAUCAAAUUGUAUAUCUUAUUCUUGUUUUUUAUCCAGCGGCAAUAAAAUGUUUAAAGAGGAAAAGGCUUUACGAACAACAAAUUGAGCAGCUUGGAAAUUUCCAAUUGCGCAUUCAUGAUCAGGUAGGUACUGUUGUAAAUUUUAGUGAAGUUUCAUUUGUUGAGAGUUUAUCAUGAAGACAUAUUUUGAAUUGGGGUUUCAGAUGAUAAUGCUGGAAGGUGCAAACGCUACAACGGAAACUGUUGAUGCAUUGAGAAGUGGAACAUCUGUGAUGAAGGCCAUGAACAAGGCCACGUAAGUUGCAUUUAAACUGCAUUCCGUAGAAUUUAUAGAUUCCAUGGCCAUAAUUGCCAUAACAAUGAAAGAAAUUUAAAUUCAAAUGAACUAUAGCAUCCUCUGCAAAGUCAGUCUUAAGUUACUCUCAAAGCACUUUGGAUGAUCUUUCAAAGGAAGCAUUCCAUAUCCUUCUGUUCUGAAUUGUACAUCUCAACUUUGGCCUUUUUUUAACAGGAAAAUUGAUGAUUUGGAGAAAACAAUGGAUGAGAUCAAUGACCAAACUGAAAGCAUGAAGCAGAUUCAGGAGGCAUUAUCAGCACCUAUUGGUGCAGCAGCUGAUUUUGAUGAAGUAUGAUCUUUGCAAGUUCUUAGUUCAUGCAUGCAAUGGUUUAUUUUCAAUAUAUUAGGUUCAAAUUAUGCAACUUUGUUUCUGCAGGAUGAAUUGGAAGCAGAGCUUGAAGAACUGGAAGGAGCUGAAUUGGAGGAGGAGCUUUUCCAGCCAGCCACAACUGCUCCCGCAGCUACAGUACACGUAAAUGCCCCGGUAGGCAGGCAACCAACCCAACCAGCUCCUCAGAGGAACAACCGUGAUGAGGAUGAGCUUGCUGCAUUACAGGCAGAGAUGGCACUUUAAGAGGUUACUUAUAUGUAUCAGGUUGGUAAUUUAUCUUGACAAUGGACUCCUCACUCAAGCGGGGUGAUGCACAUAAUAAGAUUUAAAUUGUCGUAGAACUUAAAUAAGAAUUCAGCUUCUGUUGGAUUAAGAUUUAAAUUGUCAUUUGAAUCAAAGUUAUGUUUCUCAAAGCAUUUAUGUUACUUCAUAUGAUCUGAUGGGUUUUGUUGCUGUGUUUGCAGUUGUUAACAUAUAGAAGGAGAAGAUUAAUAAAACUUGAAUUAUGGAGGAUGAUGCGAAUCUCUCGGACUCUCCAGACUGACUUGUGACUUUUAAUACUGCAUUUGAUGGUCUGUAUGUAUACAAAAUAAUAAGUUGGUAAAACUGUUUUUACUACUUUGUAAUAUAAUGGGUCAAAUAUUAGGCUUCUUUGUACAACUAAUACUGGGAACUUAUAGUCAUUUUUUUUUAUUUUAUCACUAUCGAAAUCUUAUUAUGAUUUUACAAAGUUAAACAUAAACUCUAUGCUUGAUCACAAUUUUAGAAUCGUUAAGCUAUGAUUUCGAGCUAAUCGAUGACUUGCAAAAACGGCUAUAGCUCACAGAAUGAUUCUAAGAAAAUCUUAACACACGCAUCGCAUCAAUUACAUGAGGGCAAUGGAAAUAUAUCAUUACUCUCCAUACAUAACAUCGAUCCAUUGACCGAGCAACGUGCAUGAAAAAUAUUCAAAACGACGCACCAUAAUUUGAAGGAUUCAAUGUCAAAGAGAAGAAUGAACAAAACAUAAAAGCAUGUAUAAGAUGGGUGUGAACCAUGCUUGCAAUUUGACAAAGAUUCUCUACUUAAAUAUAAACAGAACAAACCGUGAAAGUGGGGGGGGGGGACCAUAAGUGCAUCAUCAUAUGAACACAAGAAAAACAAGAACCUGUAUGUUUUUGCUCUGGUGUUUCAAUGAGUUUCAUAAUUUUAAUUUUAACUUUUAGACAGGCAACAAAGUUGAGGUUAUCUUUUUCUCUGACUUGGAAUAACUCUGUCUUCCAUAAAGAAAAGUCUGAAAGGGAUGCCCCAUCUUAAGUUCUUCACUUGCUGAUGAUUGUAAGGCAUAAAAUAGGAUUAUGGGGUGUGACUUCUUAAUCACAUCAGACUAAUUGCAAGAUUCUUCACUUGGUUUGUUUUUUUUUUUUCCUUUCUUUUUCCUUAUUGAUUUCUCUUAACAGCUAAAUUCCAUGAAUUUGGACUUUCUGAAAUAGCCAAUGGAGAAGAGGGACCUCUAUUGUGAAAACAAGGGGCUCUUACACAUUGUCUUUUCUGAUUUCUGAUAUGGGAUUUAUGCUUUCUUCUUAAGUUCAUUUGAAGAAGCAAAUGACCCACUAGUAUAGUGGUUUAGAGCAAUUGUUCCUUAAGAAAAAUUCUAGGUUCGAGUCCUAGCAUCCAUGUAGUGUGUGUGAGUUUAGUAUGUUAUCGCCCCUCUCAAUAAAAAAUGUCCUCAAAAAAGUUCAUUUGGAGAAGGAAUAUUCAACCACACAUAAAAUGCCACCAAGAAGGAGAUAAAGAACAUUCAUUAUGAUGCAACCUUUGAAGUUCAAUGUGAAAGCAUAAGAUAAGAGACAGAGAGAGAUCAAAACGUGAACCCCAUCUGUUUUAAACCUUUCUGUAAAUGCAAUAUAUCCCAUAAUUAAGAAAACUUCAAAACCAGAUUCCCAGCCCUGGAUAGCUUCGAUGAUUUUCAAACAAUCCCUAAUUGGGGCAAUUCUCGUAGACGGAGCAUAUGCAAUGUUUGGUAGCUUAUGGCAAGUGAUCUAAUCUCAUAUUUUAAGAUGAUGACUAAGACUAACAAUGUUUUAUUUAAAUUGGGUUUCCAAAAUAAACAAUAAUGAUUAAGUAAUGCUUAAGAACUUAAUAAUGGCAGUGAUUAGUGAGGCUUAAUUAUAAUCUUAAAGUCUUCCCUUCACCAAUAAAUUGUACGGGAAAUUAAAAAAUAAUUAUGUCCUCUCGAUUCGUGAAUGGACAGGGUACUUGACCGUACAAUGAACAAUGAAAACGAUCCAUGGAUAAGUUUAAUGUUCUAGUUAUGAAUCACAGCUCUCAAACAGUGACACUUGACCUUAGGCACACACUGCAUGAAUAAUUUAAACCAUAUGGAGUCGAAACAUUCAGAACGCGUUUUUCCAAAAAAUAAUGGCUUCUCAAUACACAUAAAAAGGGAGAAAAUUUUUGUAAGUUUCUAUAGGGUAAUGUAUGCAAAUGUGUAUUCACAUUGCUGCAUGAGAUGAAAAUAUCCAAGCGAUAAUGGAGAGGGGGAUUGAAACACAAGACCUCAACUGCUUCUUCAAACAUAACCUUUGAUUUUACCACUUCCAAGUCUUGAAGUUGCAGAGAUGAUGUAGGUUAUGACUGAGUAAAAUAUCAAAAGCAGGGCAGAGUAUCUUUUAUGGUUAUUUUUUGAGAGGGACAUUUCGGAUCAUGAUCAACUUUGAACUGGCCACACCCCCACACAACUUUCAUGACCCCUGGCAUAUAAAGAAACAGGCAAACAUGCUGAGGCCAUCCAAACCCCCCAACACUGAUUCUUUGUGCCAUUGUACCUUAAAGACAGAGUAAAUUAAUUAACCAAAUUUCUGAGAACCCACAAUGGGAAUGCCUGUGAAAGUUGAAAGCUUUAUACACAGACAAACAAAACAAACAGAGACAAAGAGGAAGGGUUCCAUACAUGUUCAUCUACUAGUCAUUACUUAAAAUUUUGAUUUACAUCACAUUUUCUCCUCCUCUAUGAACAGAAGCAGAGGUCCAACUGAGACUGAAUAUGACUAGAAUAAAUGAAAAAGAAAUUAAAACAAAGGGGAACCAAAAAAGAACAUCCUUUUUUCUAGCUAAUAUUUACUUCCCCCAUUUCCUUCGCCAGUUCUAAGCAUUUGCUUUUGUUUCUUUUCCCCAUGCUUUUUGGUUUUCACAGAUGGUUGAGAACCCUUUGACUCAGUCCUUGUUUUGUGCCUCAAUAUGAGCUUGAAAAUAAAUCACCAAAAUUUGUACAGCUAGCUGGGCCAAAUUCACUGGUUUUUUCUCCAAAGCACAUGCCAUAAUUCACAUCAUAAGGCAGACCGAAAUCUGUAAACAACCCAGAAUCAUCAAGGGAACCAUUUCCAGGUAGUGAGGCACACUUGUCAACAGCAGCUAUUGAAGAAGAGUCUGAAAUGUUUGAGCCAUCCUGAGAUAAUGAAACAGUAGUGUAACUUUUCUUUGAACUUGCACCAAAAUCUGAAAAAGCCAUGACCUUGGAGCUGUAUAAUUGAUCUGGUGAGUUUAAAGUCCAGGUUUGGUUAUAGGCAUUCAGUCCAGAAUUAACAUCAGUUAACAUGUGCAAUGUGGGUGGAAUUUGGGUUUGGAAUGUUGAAAAGGCAGAGUCUUGGGGUUCAGCUUUUGGGACACAAGGCAGGGCCAGUGAGGCUGCAGAGCCAGGAAGAGUGGCAUUGUUAGUGGGCUCUUUGCUGUUCUUUGUUGUGAGGUUUUGUUUUCCCCCAAAUAGCUUCUUCUUUAAUUUGGUGUUCCAAUAGUUCUUCACAUCAUUAUCUGUUCUUCCAGACAUCUGAGAAGCUAUCACUGACCAUCUGAAAAAAAGUGGGGAAAAAUGUUAGAAAUUAUUAAUAGUGUUGCAGAUAUAAAAACCAUGAAAAAAUUUAGUAUAAAGAAUGAUAAAUGGACUUGCCGGCUCCCCAUUUGGUUGUAGAGGCUACAUAUAAUGCUGUCUUCCUCUUCAGUGAAGCAUCCAUGUUUGAUGUCUGGCCUCAGAUAAUUGAGCCAACGUAAACGGCAACUCUUCCCACAUCUCCUAAGACCUGAAAAAAAAAAGGAAAAAUACAAUUGUAAGAAGAAGAAAAAAAGUUCAACCUUUUCUCAUCCAGAAAAAUUCUGAGAGUCAAACUGAUGAAUGGGUUUAGUAUGGACGAUUCAUUGAACAAAUUGGCAAAAUAAAAAAAGAAGAACCCUUUUGUUCUUUUUUUCAUAAUUUUCAUUCUGUGAGGUCAAAAGAUAGAACUAAGCAUCACACAGAGACAGAGUGUGUGUGUGUGUGUGUGUGUUUGUGUGUGUGUGUGUGUGAGAGAGAGAGAGAGAGAGAGAGAGAGAAAGAGAGAUACCAGCUUUUUUGGGCAAAAGGAUCCAAUUUCCACCAGUUCCAUGAGUCUCAAGGUAGCUCUUGAGAGUUGCGUCUUCAUCAGGUGACCAUGGACCUCUCUUCACAUUAUCUUUGUCACAACACGGAGUGCGUCCCAUGGCUAAUUACUCACUUCCACACACACACCACCAAAAAACUAAUUUCAGAGAGGGAGAGAGAAAGACUUAGAACCAGAGACAGAGACAGAGACAGAAAGAAAGUUCAGACACGCUGAUGCUCCAAAAUAAGCAAAUGCAGGAGCUUUUGGUGGAGAGCUUAUAAAGAUGGUGGCACCUUAAAAUAAAAAACAAAUAGAGUAAAUGAAAAAAGGCUUGACCUUGUACUUGUACGACCUCCCCAUUUCUCAACUUUAAUUAUAAUUUCUUUUUAUCUGGUACUUGUUCCUUGCAUUCCAAGACAAAGACCCAGUCAACAUUCACACAAAAACUGUAUUGACUUUAUUUUUAUUUUUAUUUUAACUUUUAAUAUCGGGUAGGGUAAUAUCAUGAUUCAUGAAGAUGAAUGAACCGUUCAAAACUGACGGUCCAAAAUGUCCCUUAGUCGAAUUUUACUGCUUUAAUUAGUUGUGUUCUUCUAGCUCUGGUCAGAAGAUAUGGACUUAGCCACCACACAGGCACAGGGGAACAAAACCCUACUCUUGCCUUGAUCCACAUCCACUGACAAGUGAUUAGCGGUAAAUAAAUAUUUGAUUAAAUAGUAUCAUAUGAGAAAAUUGUGUCCAAUUAGCAAUAGUAAAUCGAAAAUUGGAACUCAUACACAGACAGUUCUAAUGGUGAAUGCUUCAAAUGAACUUUUCAAUGUGAGCUUGUACUAUUUUUGACAUUUUACUAUUCAAAGUAACCCAUCAAGGCGAUGAGCAUUGAUGUCUUGGUCACAGCCAAAAGGGUUUUAAAAUAUCAUAAAAAUUAAUUAUUUAAUUUCAAGUUGGUGUGGCUGCUUCUCCAUUGUUUUCCUAUUGACUUCUUGGUAUUUUGUUGUUUUCUCUGCUUCCAGUCUAAAGAUUCCAUGUCACGGGCUCAAGUCGUUUUUAAUGUUUAUAUAUAUAUAUAUAUAUAUAUAUUGGUAAAUACCAUGAGAUGUUCGGGCCAGUUUGUGUCUACCUCAAUUAAUUUCCACUCGCGAAACUGAGCCUGUCACUGACCACCGAGUGUUGCAACCUUCGGGACUCAAUCUGAAAUACAAAUCCAAUAAAACCCCAGAACCUUAUCCAAAUGACGGACAAACCACUGGGCACUUGCUAAACCAGUAACUCGACAUCACCGUGUUUUUUUUCCUUUUAACCCCACCACGACAUCAUUUUGGUGCACAUGGGUUAAUUUAAUUGGUUUACUUAAAGCAAUAUUUCAUACAUUCACAGCCCAAGUCUCCUUAGGGCCUUAUCAAUGGACAGAACAAGGUGAAACUGACCAAUUUCUUUCAUUCAUUGGGUUCACUUGGGCUGGGCUCAUGUGUGAGGGUACCACAAAGGAAAAACGUACAGAAUUUGAGGAGAAGGCAGCUCUACAUAUCUUUGAUUUUUCCUGCGGCUUCAUAUAUAACCGAUGAGAUCCCUUGCUACUCCCGUCCAGACACUCCCGUCAAAACAUUAUUAAUACAGCGUAAGUAUUUAGCAAACAAAUGAUAUUUCUUAACUGACGUCCUAGAUUUGAUUUCCUCUUUUUCAAUAUUGUAUGUAUAAAAAAUAAAAUAAAAAUUAUCCGUCUUAAUAUGUGAAUAAACUAAUUAGAUGUAUAUAUAUUGAAAAUUUGCAAUGAAGGGCCUUUGCAUAAUCAUUUGAGGACAUUAAAAGAUUGGAACAAUAUGAUUGAGAAUUUGAGCCUACGUUACUCCUACUCCUAUACUAGUGAUAAAUCGUAUAUCGACUAAAUAAAAUAUUUUAUAUGCCCAACUUCCAUUAAUUUACCCUUAUCAUUUUGCUGGAUGCACAUACAAAAUCCAAUAUGCUAAAUUAUUUUUCUAAUAACUUAGAAAACAAACAAAAUAGCUAAUCAUGACAUAUUUAUUUUACACUACCUAACUCUUUCUAUAAGAUAAAAACAAGAUUUGGAUAAGAGCCCAACUUGUCACAUCAUUUUUGUGCAACCACCACAUUUUCAAUCCAAAAUAUAUAAAUAUUAUAUGGUCCUCCCCAUAGCAAACAACAACGUAACACCCAACGAAUAGAUGGCACAAAGGAGGGAGGAAAUAGUGCCAAAUAUUGGCAUAUAAUUGUCAAUCAACUUAGCACGAUAGCGACAAUGUUUUGUCCAUCGGAAAAAAAUUACUUGGGUCCCUUCAAAACGUUCGUUUGUCCCUUCAUUACCAAGUCAAUGUCUCGCAAUCUAUUUAAGCUUGCAUUGCAUGGCUAUACACAUUUUGGAGUAUAAUAAAUAUUUUCUUGUCGGGAGAUAAAUAAAGAUUUAUCUGAUUGACUUUUAUUAUAAUAUAUGGUUCAAAUUCAGUCUGAUAAAUUAAUAACGCAAGUCUGAUAAGAAAACAUUACCCUCUAAAAUAAUAAGUUCUUGCAAGUAGGUAUAAAUCUUUAGACAACCGAUGGAAAGUUAGGUAUGUACUAAUAUUAUGGCACUCAUGAAGAACUUCUACUCCAUAAGAUAUUUUGGAAUUGGUUCAAGUCCUUGUCCUGGGUUUUGGAGAUGAAAUUACAUGUAACCAAACAGAGCCCAAUAACACACUCUCCAAGGGAUUUUGUGAUGGAAGCUUUUGUUUUUGAUUUGAUGGUAAUGUAUAUAAUAUAUAUAAGAGUAAGACCCACCAGCUCAAACAGUUUUGAUGAGCACGCCACUACAGGAUCCCUCCCACUCAAUAAGUAAAGUUGCCAUGCCACUGCAAAAAUCAACGAAACCCUUGGAACCACCGUCCACUUUGUCUGCCUUUUUCAUUCUUUUGAAUCAUUCAGUUCCCUUUUUCUUUUGUUUUAUUUAAUCCUUCUAUUAAACCCAAUCUCAAAGGAGUGGUCUUUUUUAUUUAUACACAUAAUUAUACAACCAAGAUGUUAUAAGAAUUUAAAUUAGAAAAAGAAAAACUUCAUUGUAACGAAAUAAUACUGUUUUAUUAUUCUGACCAAUAAUACGACACGUGAAAAAGUUAUGUCAAGUGAACAAAAAAUGAUAUUCUCGUUACAUGAGAGUUUAUCUCCUAAAUCUGAGACCUCUAAUCUACAUGCCAAUGUACUUUUCUUACUUUCAAUGAGAUAUAUUAAUCAUAAACAGAACUAAUGAUUUUGAUUGCUACAUAAAACAAUUAUUUACACGGAUGUGCUUCUCUAAACCAUCACUUUCAAACUUAAUGGAUUAUAUAGACAUUAGUUCUUGUAUCUUUGUAUGAUUAAGAUUAGAUUAAGUAGGAACAAGUGUGGCCGUUGAAUAAGAUACGUGAAUUAAGAGGUAAAUUUAUUCAAAUCUGCAAUCUAAAAUAAAUUGACAACGUGCGUAAAUCUUUGUAUGGUUUAUACUCUAGUACAUUUUGUGAGAGAAAUGCAAAUAAAUAACACUACAAAUGAUCAUCAUCACAAGAGAUCAUGACGAGAGAUUAAUUUGAUGUGGAAGUUGUAACAUAAGCAAAUGGUGCCUCCUUGACCAUAUCCUCUCUUUGAAAACCUUCACAUCAAAGACAUUAUUUUUACAGAUAAAAUCCACGAAAGAAUAGUCAAAGCACAAGUGGUGGCACAUAGUGGAUAAAUUAAAAGAUUUCCAAUGGAUAAGGACGGGCUUAUCAGCUCCACAAGCCACGUCAUGAAUCCAAUCGCUGUGUACAUGAAAACCAGAUAUAAUUGUUUAUAGAGGGUGGUGGGUUUAAAUUACAAUGAUUCUUUUCCACAGGUUUAAUCAUUUUCUUAAUCCAUAUAGCUCUAAAUGAAUAAUUUGUUUACAGGACACUUUAUUAAAUAAAUUAUAAUUUUCUAUUGCUUCAUUCUUUAUAAUAAGCUUGGAAAGCAAGCUUGAUCAAAGCGAAAGCAUCAAUGAAUUCUAUCUGCUUAGAAACCCACAGAGUCAGUUAAUUCAAUAAAACAAAUGAUAGUCUAAAUCAAUCUAAUGUUCAGUAAUCUAAAUUAAUCUAAUGUUAGGAGAGUUUAAUUAAUCUAAUGUUCAAUAAAACAAAUGAUAUUCUAAAUUAAUCUAAUAUUUGGAAAGAGAAACUCGAAUUACUAAAUUUCAUAAUUCAUUCAUAUGACAUGUCUGAGAAUCCAAAGCUUAAGACUGAAGCUUGAAGACAAAACACAACUUUUUUCAUCAUAAUGUUAAACUAUCCAGAUUAAAUUACAACAUUUUCUUAUAUGUGCAAGACAUUAAUUAUGGAGAAUAAAACACAAUUCAAUCGCAGAAAUGGGGAAAAACAAAAUUGAGGAAAUGAAAUUUACAUUAAUUGAGCCAUGAAAAUGAACUUACAAUAUGAUUAUCCGAGAAAAUUUGACAGAAGAUGCAAAAAGAAAAUUAAAAUUCAUAGACAUUGAUCAAAGAAAGUAAACAACAGCUACCCAAAUUCCCAGCAGCCUCAACAAAUUCUUCUUUUUUAUCUGUACAAAUUUGCAGAACGGGACUUUGGAAAAUCUCCUUCCUUCCUUCACAGUUCAUCACAUCAACUAUUUACAACAGUUUCAAAAUUAACCUCUAUUCACAAAAGGUCAGAAGAAUCAGAAGGCCACUGAUAUUUAACGCAUCAGCCAAAAAAUUGAAUCAAAACGGAACACGAUCGACAAACGAGUUCACACUGCACUCGGGUUUCAUUCACUCACUAGCUCCGAAACCCAGCCCACAUCAGGAGCUGACAUGCCCGAGUCGACUCGGCCGACUCUGCCCAUCGAGUUUUCCUUACUCAGCCUCGCAUACAUUCUCGCUCGGAGAUCCCUCCCGGACUCCACCCUCUCCAUUGCCGGCUCUUCCUCGCAAGGGUGGUCCCAAAUAUCAACCGCCCCGGGUCCAGCCCGACCCGAGGUCCGAGUCGGAGUCGAAGGAAGGCUACAAAACGCGGGUCGGAGCGCAGACCCGCGUGGAGAAGAACCAAACCCAGAUCCCAUUUGUGGGCCCCAUGCAGGCGGAGCACUCAUUUUCAUCUUAGCAAGCUUAAAGUUCCGCAUCGAAGCGACGAGUUCACUCACCGAGUUACAGCCGAGUUGAGGGCUGUUGGGCGACAUUGGUGGCGAGUCAGACGGCGGAGAUAUCGGCGGCGAUAUCAGGAUCGAGGUGGGUGACGAA